RNAcentral lists this long non-coding RNA (47925 nucleotides) under Populus tremula. RNAcentral's name for it is "long non-coding RNA (PTRE_LNC003383)". Lineage: Eukaryota; Viridiplantae; Streptophyta; Magnoliopsida; Malpighiales; Salicaceae. The record is from RNAcentral.
GUUCGAGAACAGCUUCAUCCUCUGGAAGACUCGAAUCCACAUUCUUUCGACAACACGUGAUCUCCAACAACAUAACUCCAAAGCUAAAACAUCUGCUUAACUGUCCCCGGCAUAUUCCGGUGCCAUUCUGGUGCUACAUAUCCCUUGUCCCUCUAAUUCCGGUGAAGGUUUUAGUUUGGUCUGACUUCAGCAAACUUUGCCAAUCCAAAGUCAGAAACUUUGGGGCACCUGCUUUCAUCUAUUAGUAAUUCUGAGGUUUUAUUCACAGUGGAUGAUCUGAGUGUCGCACUCUUCAUGUAGAUAAACAAUACCCCUUGCAAUGUUGCGAGCAAUUUCCAACCUUUCAGGGAAAGCAAGGUCGUUUUUCAGUGAGAAGAGUAUGUCAGCGAGGGACCAUUGCUCAUGUACUCGUAUACCAGGAGCCUGUGCAUGGCAAUAGCCCGAGCAGACGGGCUAGGUUUCUGUGACGUGUUUUCCCAAUGACUUUCAUCUCAUUCUGAAAUUCUCUUUCCCUUCAGCUAGAGCUUUCUCCAGUCUCUAGACAGCAACGAGUACUUGAUAUAUCCCUUUAAACUGUCCCAAAUGAUCCCCUGCCAAUUUCUUCCUUGAAACCACCAGUAAUAUUUUCUAGCUUUGCAUAAGUGAAAGCUCGAGGAGCAAAUACCUCAUUCAAUGCAGUACCAUCAUUAUUUGGCACCCUUUUAUGCCAAUACAUGAUAUCUGUAAACGAUGAUUCCGAAAAUCGACACCAUAGCAAGCCCAAAAGCAACAAAUGAACCAUUUAUGAUGCGAACCUCGUGAUCACGUGGUCACGCAACCCACACGCAAAGACACCAAUUCCCGGAAAACCAAGUAAAUCAGGUUUGAUAGGAGUGUGACACAAAGAUAACUUGUACCUAGGCACCAGCACUAUUGGAAACGAAAAACCCCCACCCAACGAAUAUAGAUUCGCGAAUGAGAAGUAUAAGGAUGAUGCCACGAAGCCAGUUGUUCUUCGAUAAGUCGUUUUCAGUUCUUUAGAGAACCAAGGAAGGGAGAUUAUCCCACCAACACACAAGUACUGCAAAGAAGUUUAUUGAUAUAAAAGCCUCUAUUUAUACUGACUCUAGACUUAAAGAAACCCUAAUGGACCCCCCUUAGGUGGACUUAUAUGAAGCCCACUUACAAUUGACCCAAAUAAGUAAUAAUAACCCAAAAACUAAGAAGAAAAUAAUAAAAAUAAUAAAAAUCCGAAAAUUACCAUCCUAAAUAUGCUAGAAUCAAAUUUGUAUUGAUGUCCUUGAUUAGCUUGGAUAAAUUUCCUCCUUUGUUGCUGAUUUAAUUACUUUUCUUCCUAUGUUAGGAAAAGCAUUAAAUAGUCCUCCCCUCUUUAGGAAUAAGAUAUGGCCAACUUCCUUACUUAAUUAGGAGAAUAAAUUGCUGGCUUUUUAUCCUUGUAGCAUUAGGAAAUAAAACAAGCCUAACAAGGCUGGUAUUGGGCCGGACAUAUCAACCCCUUGUUCCACAUGAAUUGGGCUCUUCUUGGACAUGAACUAGAUGAAUUAAAGGCUGUCCUUCAUGCUCCUUAAAUGUCCCAAGCCCUUCUAGGUCCAUCUUGCUCCAUAAGUUCUGAACAAGCCCAUUCAAUGCUUCUUUAAGCUUCUUUGCCCUAGCUCUUGUGAUUGGCCCAAUUGGCACCUCCAAUGGAUCGUUGGCAUGAUUACGCUUGGUGUUGGGCUGAUCCGCAUCAACGUAUUAUUAGGAUUGUCCUGCCAGUGCCAAGGUUCUUCUUCUCGGUUAUAGGCUCUUUUCUGUCCAUGGUGGACAUGGGUCUGCCCACCUUGACGACAGCCAAGUUCGUACUUCCUAAGUUUCUCCUCCCAAAUCUCAAAGGAAGCCUUUGCUUUCUGCAGUACUGCCCAUCAGUGAAUAAUGCUGCUUCACAGUUACAGUCUUCCAAACAGGCUUGCUUACAAUUGUCUUUCAUUGUUAAAGACAAAACGGAGUACGAAACAUCUUCCCAGAUAGUAUUAGACAGCUCUUCCAUGGUGUAUGUGCUACUUCCAUUCUUGUCGUUGCAACUUUCAGCAUUGAAAUCCCUCUGACAGCCAGAAGUCCAAUUUCCCUGGGUAACAAACUUAAAUCCAGGAAGACAAGUACAUUCAGCUUCCUUAUCCUUCAGAACACAAUAUCCAUUAAGACCACAUGAUCCUUUCGGGUCGCACUUGUUGCUUGUGGAUCAUGACCACAUAUCUGACCAGUUUCCAUUCCGUGUCAGAUUUCGUGAAUAUAAUCUGAAAAUCCCAUCAGCAUCAAGUUUCAUCAUAUUAAUUGUUUCUUUCGUGGGAUAUCCUCCAGCUGUAAUGUUUUUUAUGUUGAAACCUGUGGAAUUGAGCAGGUAGAGACGGCCAUCCGGAUCAAGAUUUAGGGUCACAUUAUCUCCCUUCCCAUCAGUAAAAGAUGAAAAAUAAGAAUAUGGAGCUGUAUCUGGAGUAUUAACAGGAUACUGCACAAGGUUGCCAUCAUUUUGCAUCUUGAGUCGGUAAAUACCAGUUGAGAGUUCAGUUUCUGAAACAGGAGAAACCAGCUCUGCCCCUGCUCUGAGCUGUUGAGUUGGCAAAAGGGUAUCUGUUGGGUGGUCAAAACUCUGCCAUAUAAUCUCGCGAUCAGAAUUAUAUAGCACAAAGUUGCCUGAAUCAGACAUAGAAGCUAAAGAAGCUGGCUGGGAAGCAGAAACUAUCGGAGUCUCAUCCCCUUGUGCUGAUCUCAAGACAACCCUGCCAUCACUGGUGAAGAGCAAGGUCGCAUUACUGGGGACUGGGGCAUCAUCCCUUCUAGCAGCCCACACAACAGUCUCUAGUGAAAUCCCGGAUAGAAAAACCCCUAUAGAAUAGCCGUCGCGUUGUCGGAAAAAUCCGAAAGCAUAAAGACCGGAAGGUGACAACCAUGAGGAGUUUGUGAUAGGUGUUAGAGAAGAUCCGAGGGUUAUAUUGGUCUGUCUUUGAGCUGAAGCUGUAAAAGAUAAGGCGAGAAGAAGAAAAAAGAUGAUAGAAGCCAUGGAUAGGGAUUUAGCUCUUGUGUGGUAUGUGAGUGUCAAAAUAAGGAUGUCUAUUGUUCCAGCACUCCAUUAUCUUUCUGUGGUUUCCAGCAGUCAAGCCAGGCACUCAAAACAUAAAAGUCUAGCCAUAGAAUCCACCGCGUUUCCCUACCAAUUGGUGGAAAUUGUUGCUCUUAGUUUUAUGCUUUCAAAGUCACCGAAAAAACUUGGCAGUUACUUGGUGCUGGUCCACUUUUUUCAUCUUGGUAUCCCCCAUUUGAAAAGUCAUUUGCUAAUUUCCCCGGGACUAUUCUUGGUUCUAAUUUUCUGCAGCAGAUUCUUUUUUAUUUGUCAAGUACCAUUCAAUACGCUUAGAAGACACAAUCUUUAGCUUCCUGCAGACAGCUUCAACUAGUUAAGAAAUAUCGAUUUGGUGCCAAUGCUAAUACCCUGGCAUUAUACUAGGGCAAGACAGAACAACUUGCUAGCUUAUAGUCAUGUCCCUCAAAAGCUAAAGCCUAGCUAGCAACCUCAGUUUCUAACGAGAGAGCAUCUCUACAUGUUGCGUAACUAACAAUCCCUUGAAUAUUAAAACUGAAAAGUGGAACUCAUUGGACCGUUGAUUUUAUGACCAGUUCCACCGUACGACUUAAUUCAGAGUACAAUUGAGGUGGUCACGGCAAGGACCGGGUCAAGGGACAACCUAGCAUUUGCUGACCUGCUCUUCUCAGCUAAAGCUUCUUUUUUUUUUUUUUGAAAGAUGCGCAUAUUAUUUAAACGUCAAAGUCUGACGGGAAUAGAACAGAAGCUAUACAAUAUCUUACUAUGACAAAAAGCCAUAUAUAGGAUAAAGCGCAGCAUAAGAUAAACAAAAGCAAAGAAAACCACAAAAAAUCCAUCCGAAUGAGCUGAAGCUAAACAUUCCUCUACAAAACAAAACAAAAAUUACUCAAAGACAUAAUGGGAGAAGAAACAAUAGCAAGGCCAUAGAAAAAUGGUGAAUUCAAAGCCAGGCAACAAAUUCACUUGAUCUUCGCACUCCUUGUUUAGCCAAGUCAUCUGCCAUGCAAUUGCUUUCACGAAAGAUAUGUGAGAAGGUGAUUGAACCAAAAUAUGCUUUUAAUCUAUUAAAAAAGGAGAACAAAUUAUGAUGCUUCCAGGGACGACUGAGAGGAUUAUUCAUCCACAGAAUAACAUUGACCGAGUCAGAUUCGAUGAUGAGGUGUUGAUGGUGUAAGAGGCAAUUAGAUGCUGAUAGUUCAAUGGCUUUGACAAUAGCCCUUAACUUAGCAAUAUUAGAGUCUAAAAUACCAACUGGAACAGAGAACAUACCGAGCAGAUGACCAUGAUGAUUUCGCAACACACCACCUAUUCUAGAGGGGCCUGGCUUACCAAGAGAAGAGCCGUCCACAUUCCAUUUGAGGCUAUUAAUCAUAGGAGGAGACCAUAUAUUAUUAAUCCUGAAAGAGUGAGCAUUGGACCACCGAAGCAAGCCAUCUGCCGAUCUGAUUAGAUCUGUAGGGGAGUAUGGAAAAUCUGAAUGGAUAGCUUUUAGCCAUAGACAUAAACGGGUGAUAAUAAGAAAGAAUAUUGAGUCAUAGUCUGGUGUCUUCUGUUGGAAAAUCAGAUCAUUUCGAAGGAGCCAAAGAGACCAUGCCAUUGAGAAGAACAACAUCAACCAUGCCUUCCUCUGAAAAUUACCAUGCACCAUGGAAGACCAUUGAGACCACAUAUCUGAGAAGCUCUUUGGGCAACACCAAACUAAACCCCACCAUUUAAUGAUUUUGGACCAAAUGAGCCAAUGUUUAUGGCAGUGCAACAGAAUAUGGUCCACCGAUUCUGCUUCAACAAGGCAGAUAGGGCAAAGGGCAAUUUGAUUCCGAGCUACCCAAGAUACCUCUUCGAACCAACAUACAUCGGGUGUUGAGUCUGUUAAUGAUAGUCAUCUAGCAAAAGAUCUCUACCUUAAGAGGGACAAUACCUUUCCAAAUUCCAGCAAAUGAGAAGGCAUUGUUUGUGGAAGGCUUUGGACUCAACAAUACGCAGAGAGAUUUCAUUGAAAAUCUUCCUGAAUUAUUGUCCUUCCAAAUUAGUCUAUCCUCUCCAUCUUUGUCCAUGAGUACUAACGAAAGGAUUGCAUAGAGUUGAUCAAGCAAACCGAUGUUGCGCCCCCGUAGUGGACGUAUCCAUGAAAAAAACCAAAUCCAUUCAUACCCUUCCCACAUUCCCAUCUUAGCAAUGGUGCAGCUUUGUCAUUGGAUAAUUGUAAAAGAGUAGGGAAGUGAUCUUCUAAACAAUGGUUAUUAAGCCAGCAAUCAAGCCGAAACAUAGUUUUCUUGCCAUUUCCAAUAAGAACCAAAGAUUGCUCAUUCACAAUAUCCUGCAACUUAUUAUUUCUCACAUAAUGAUUGACAAUCCAGGACCAUGUAGUUGCAGUUCCUGGAAUAGGAGCUUGCAGCAGGAGAUUAGAGCAAUUGGUGUUGUGGAUGGUUUUGAUCACAUCCUUCCACAUACUUGAUUCCUCCAACCCAAACCUCCAUAACCAUUUAAAGAGCAGAACUUUAUUUUUGUCCCUUAAAGAACCAAUCCCAAGACCACCCGCAUGUUUUGGAAGAGUAACAGUUGCCCAGCUAACAUUGCAUAUUUUGUGCCUAGCUUCUUCUCUCACCAUCUUCAUGCCAUGGUUGCUGAUUGGAGGGGCUUUAUAAUUUAUUUAUUACAAUUGUGCUAUGAAAAAGAAAAAAAAAUGCUAUGAUAUUAAAAAAAAAAAGAAUUUCCUCGUAGCUAUGAUAUUUGUGAUAUUAAUUAUGUUACACUUGUGAUCAUGUUGAUGAGAAUAAUAAUAAAUUCAUAUAGUUUUAGUAAUGUUUAUGUUAGCAAGCAAUGCUACUGAAGGUGAAGAAGCUGUGACGAAGAUGAUGGUGAUGUAAUGGUAAUGACGAUUAAAGUGAUUGAAAAAUAUUUUUCUUUUGAUAAUUUAUUAGUAUAUAUAUAUUUCAAAUGUUUAAGAUAUUUUUCAAAUAAAUGUACCUUAACUAUGAUAAAUGAUAUAUUCUCCGUUUGUUUGCAAUUUGAUUGUAAAGGCUUCCUUUUAACAUAAUUCUGCUUGAUAUGCUCCAUGUAAUUACAAACUAAUUAGCUCAUUCUGGUCUUCUCACUUCUGGCAAUUAGUCAGUUUGAUGGCGGCUUGCAACAAUGUACUGUCACCAACCGUUGUAUUGGACUUCGAUUCACCGAUAAUGCCCUGCAACUGAGCUUGAGCGAAGGAAUGGACAUUUGCAUUUAGGCAAGGAAUUGCCUUGUAGAAUAGAAGAAGAAGAAGAAGAAGGGGGAAAAACAAGCAGAGAUCAUAAUCUCAUUAAUUCUAUUCUUCGUAAAGAGCUCACUCUUGAGAUAACAUAAGACCACCAAACGUUGUUUAUACUAAGAACACGUGAAGCUUUCAUGCUAACGUUUUCUUUUCUCCUCUUUAUAUACCUUUUUUCUUUUUCUUUUUUUUAAUAUCUAAGAUACGGUGGGAAACAACUUUAUUAACAUUAGAAGAAAAAUCACCAGGAAGCUCCUAAAUGCUGCGUAAACAUAUAGCAAUUUUAUAAAGAAAAGGAAUACAUGACCUGAAAAAUAAAGUACAACACUCUGCACAUGAAUCUCUUAUUCCGAACCACAAAACGCAGCUCAUAUAGCGGUAAAAAAAAGUAGGACUUGGAGGGAUUGGGAUUUCGACUGUCCCCUCCAAAAUCAUCAGGAAGCUCCUAAAUGCUGCGUAAACAUAUAGCAAUUUUAUAAAGAAAAGGAAUACAUGACAUGAAAAUAAAAUACAAUACUUUGCAGGUGAAUCCCUUAUUAUGAACCACAAAACGCGGCUCAUACAGCGGUAAAAAAAGAAGUAGGACUUGGAGGGAUUGGGAUUUCGACGGUCCCAUCCAACAUGAGGAGGACCUUUUUCAUUGAAGGGCGGAGGGAUGGCUCAUCAAGAGUGCACCAAAGUCCCACUUUAACCAUCCUAUCUAACUGUUUCUUUCCAACGACUUCUUCACCCACAAGUUUGUCCAUAUCACCGUCCUGAAAACAUUGAUAAACCCACUGUUCGAGAACAGCUUCAUCCUCUGGAAGACUCCAAUCCACAUUCUUUCGACAACACGUGAUCUCCAACAACAUAACUCCAAAGCUAUAAACAUCUGCUUUAACUGUCACCGGCAUAUUCCGGUGCCAUUCUGGUGCUACAUAUCCCCUCGUCCCUCUCAUUCCGGUGAAGGUUUUUGUUUGGUCUGACUUCAGAAUUUUUGCCAAUCCAAAGUCAGAAACUUUGGGGCACCUGCUUUCAUCUAUUAGUAUAUUCUGAGGUUUUAUAUCACAGUGGAUGAUCUGAGUGUCGCACUCCUCAUGUAGAUAAACAAUACCCCUUGCAAUGUUGCGAGCAAUUUCCAACCUUUCAGGGAAGCAAGGUCGUUUUUCAAGUGAGAAGAGUAUGUCAGCAAGGGAGCCAUUGCUCAUGUACUCGUAUACCAGGAGCCUGUGAUGUUCAUCAUGGCAAUAGCCGAGCAGACGGGCUAGGUUUCUUUGAUUUUUUUUGGAGAGAUAAAGGAGGACAAGAGAAAGUAUUGAAUGUGAGUGUUAUCAGUCAUUUCUUAUAUAUUAUAUAUAUGAGGGUGUAUAAAGGAAAUCCCCUCAGAUUCAGCCAAUAUUCAAAUUUCCCAGAUUCAGCCAAUAUUCACUUGCCUCUUGCCCAUGAUCCUGCAACCAUCAUUCAAGCAUAAUAUCAAGCUUGUAACGGCAGACAAAUCUUCAACGUAAAUGCAGUAUAAAUGUCAAGACGUAAUCUUAGCUUACUUUCUAAAUUCAAACCUGCAAAGCUGUGUAUAUAUAUGUUAACAAUUGUAUUACUCAAGGUGUGGCGAAAUAUACAAUUCUGAAGUUUAUCAAAUAGCUCAACUCUCUGAAAUUUCUUAUCUUCAUCAUGGUAUCAGAGCAACAAAUCUCCAACGAGAAUUUGAUCCCUCACAAUCCUAUCUCAACCCCAUCCUCUCCAACUGAAACACCUCUGAUUGCCCUCAACAUCACAUCCCAGAUAAAUGAUAAACUUACCCCCUCUACAUUCCUUCAAUGGCGCGCUCAGUUUGAAGCCUUACUCAUCGGGUAUGAUCUCCUUGAUUAUGUCACUGGAGAAAAAAUCUGCCCUGUAUCCACCAGCACAGCAGUCUGCGCCAUCCAACGAACACACUGGAUAAGGCAAGAUAAGCUUAUCCUCAGUGCCAUUUUGGCAUCCACAUCCACUGUUAUUACUCCUCUCAUCUCCAUGGCCAAGACAUCAAAGGAUGCAUGGCAUAAAUUGCAUACUCUGUAUGCAAGCAAGUCCAGAACCAGAGCAAUGCAACUUAAGGAAGAACUCACAAUGAUAAAGAAGGGCAACCAGUCAAUUCAAACUUAUCUUCAUUCUGUAAAAUCGUUGGCAGACGAAAUCUCCCUCAUAGAUCACCCAAUCUCUGAAGAUGAUCUAACACUCUAUAUUCUAAAUGGCCUGGGAACUGACUUUCGUGAAAUUGCAGGCCCUAUUCGCGCCCGAGAACGACCACUCACUUUUGAGGAACUUCAUGAUCUCCUUGUAAGUCAUGAUGCAUAUCUUCGCCGUCUUGAUGCCUCCUCCCAUCUGAUUGCUUCUGCAAACUACACGCACCGACGGGCUUCGUAUAAUCAAGAAAAUCAGUCUUUUAAAUCUGCCCCAAACCCCACUUUUUUGACAGAUCAUAUGGGCUUCACUAUCGCCAGCCUGGCAAUCCGAGAGACACAACAAAAAUCAUGGACCACGUCGUUUUCCUCCAGCUCCAAAGUGCCAACUAUGUGACCGCAUGGGUCAUACUGCCAAACACUGCAGUCGGUUUCAGUAUACCACCCCAACAGCGAAUUGCACUUCCACCUCACCCGCACAGGAUACAAAAUGGCUUAUAGACUCAGCCGCGUCUCAUAAUAUUACUGGUGAUCUUGCUAAUCUAUCUAUUCAUUCCGAAUACGAUGGCACAGACGAAGUUAUCAUUGGUGAUGGUUCAGGUUUGCCUGUUUCUCACAUUGGCUCCUUACAUCUUCAUUCCCCCACACGUACCUUCCAUUUAAAUGACACCCUUUGUGUUCCUAAUCUACAAAAAAAAUCUCAUAUCUGCUCAUCAAUUUACUCGUCAAAAUCAUGUCUUUAUUGAGCUUCACCCCUCUUUCUUUUUUGUUAAGGACAAGAUCACGGGAGCGGCUCUAUUCCGAGGAGCGUGUGAGAAUGGUGUUUACAUCCUUCCGAAGUCAAUGGUGCAGCCUUCUCAUCCUAUUGUUGCUAAUGUGCAUGAAAGGGUCUCCAUGGACGGAUGGCACAAACGCCUUGGGCAUCCCUCUCCUAAAUUGGUCACUCACCUUAUCAAAUCAUUUUCCCUUCCAACAAUAAAUAAAAAAAAUAUUUCUCUUUGUUCCUCAUGUUCUAUUAAUAAAGCUCAUCGUCAACCAUUUCGUCAAAACAGUCUCUUGAGUCAUGCCCCUCUUGACUUACUUUAUACUGAUGUGUGGGGUCCCUCAAGUACAAUUGGCAUUACUGGGGCUCGUUACUAUCUCAUUUUUGUUGAUCAUUUCACAAAAUACAUUUGGUUUUAUCCUAUGGAGACUAAAUCCAGUGUCCGCAUCAUAUUUCCUCAAUUCAAAAAUCUUGUUGAAAAUCGGUUUCAGUUAAAAAUUAAAUCUGUCUAUUCUGAUAAUGGUGGUGAAUUUGUUGCCUUAAAACAAUAUUUUACAACAAAUGGAAUCAGUCAUUACACCACAGCUCCUCAUACACCGCAACAAAAUGGUGUUUCUGAGCGUCGUCAUCGUCACUUGGUUGAAACCGGUCUCACAUUACUACAUGAUGCAUCCCUUCCCCUUCAGUAUUGGCCCUAUGCUUUUUCCACUGCUGCAUAUCUUAUUAACCGUCAACCCACACCUCUCCUCCACCAUAAAUCUCCGUUUGAAACUUUGUUUACACAGCCUCCAAAUUAUAAAAAGCUAAAAAAAUUCGGUUGUCUUUGUUUUCCUCUUGUUCGGCCAUAUAACACAAACAAGUUACAACCAAAAUCAAUUCCAUGUAUUUUCGUAGGCUACUCCUUAACCCAAAAUGCAUACAGCUGCCUUGAUCCCAUAACCAACCGUCUCUACCAAUCACGCCAUGUCAUCUUUCAUGAAAAUGAAAAUGGUUUCUCCUCCAACCAUCCUUCCACACCCAGCCCGACAAGCGACUCCUCUGUUCAUGGUCCUCUUUCAUCUCCUCCUGCACCUCCACCAGUGACUUCGGCAAGGAUACCCACUCUCACUGCUUCCUCAGGUAAUGACUCCCCCACUGUAUCUUUUAAUUCACGUGCACUCAUACCUUUAUCUUCUUCUGCUUCUCCUAGUUUUCAGCUUGCCUCAUCUCCACUGCCAAAUCCCAGUCAUCCACCCUCAUCAGUUAUUUGUGCACCUUCUCCAAGCUCACCUCCCUCAUCACCCAAUCCUGCACCCACCCGGCCUCACUCCAUGGUCACCCGUUCCAUGAAUAACAUUUAUAAACCCAAACAACUUAACAUCACCACAAAACACCCCAUCCCAAAAACUGUAGAACCAACCUGUGUGGGACAGGCUCUUCGUGAGCCACACUGGAGAUCAGCAAUGUCUGAGGAACUCACAGCCCUCAUGAGGCAUGGCACAUGGGAGUUGGUACCGCCUCCUCCGGACUGCCAACCAGUUGGGUGCAAAUGGGUUUUUCGGAUCAAACGACAUCCUAAUGGCUCCAUUGCUCGGUUCAAAGCCCGUUUGGUUGCAAAGGGAUAUCAUCAGCGGCCUGGUCUAGACUACAAUGAAACGUUCAGUCCAGUUGUGAAACCUGCCACCAUCAGAACAGUUCUCACCGUGGCUGUCACACAGGGGUGGCCAUUACGGCAGCUAGAUGUAAACAAUGCCUUUUUGCAUGGGAACCUGCAGGAAACAGUCUACAUGUUACAGCCACCGGGGUUCCAUGAUACCUCCACUCCCCAUCAUGUCUGUCGGUUAAACAAGGCUAUUUAUGGCCUCAAACAGGCCCCUCGUGCCUGGUAUUCUGCUCUGCAACAAGCCAUUCUGAAACUGGGAUUCACCAGCUCCAAAGCCGAUCCUUCUCUAUUUAUCUUUCACAGUGCAGAUGUUUUGUGUUACUUGCUGGUCUACGUGGAUGAUCUCGUUCUCACUGGAAACACUCCAUCCUUCCUGACUCAUGUGAUUGAUCAACUUAGCAUCCAAUUCUCAUUGAAAGAUAUGGGUGCACUUCAUCAUUUUCUGGGGCUAGAUGUUAUACCCACCAAAAACGGGUUGUUCUUAUCUCAACAUCAAUACAUACGGAUCUUCUCUUCAAAACUAAUAUGCAGGGUGCUAAGGAUGUCUCUUCUCCUAUGUCCACUUCGGUCCAGCUCAAGCUUAUUGAUGGCACAGCUCCCUGUGACAGCACUGCAUUUCGAAGCAUCAUCGGUGGAUUACAAUAUUUGUCUCUUACUCGUCCUGAUGUUUCCUUCACUGUUAAUAAGCUGUCACAAUUCAUGCAUCAACCUACGGUCACUCACUGGUCAGCUGCCAAACGCCUGCUCCGCUAUUUGAAGAAAACCAUCUUCCUUGGCAUUCACAUAAAUCGUCAGUCUUCAUUUGAUAUCACCACUUUUGCUGAUGCUGAUUGGGCUGGGAAUUAUGAUGAUCGCACCUCCACCUCAGCUUACAUUACAUUCCUUGGGCUCAAUCCCAUCUCGUGGAGCUCAAAGAAACAACGUGCAGUCGCCAGGUCCUCCACAGAAGCUGAGUAUCGUUCCCUUGCCACUGCUACGUCUGAAACAGUUUGGCUGUUGUCCCUGUUCAAAGAACUGUGUCUCCCAAUUUCAUCUCCGCCAAGGCUGUUGUGUGACAACCUGGGAGCUACACACCUUAGCUUCAAUCCAGUUCAGCAUUCCCGGAUGAAACACAUUCAGAUAGACCUCCACUUUGUCCGUGAUAUGGUUCACAAGAAGAUCCUCAAUGUUCAGCAUGUCAAUACUCAUGACCAAUUGGCAGACUUUCUAACGAAGCCUCUGUCUUCCCAGCGUCUGCAUUCCUUACUGCUCAAGAUUGGCUUAGCUGAUGGCUCAUCCAUCUUGCGGGAGCGUAUAAAGGAAAUCCCCUCAGAUUCAGCCAAUAUUCAAAUUUCCCAGAUUCAGCCAAUAUUCACUUGCCUCUUGCCCAUGAUCCUGCAACCAUCAUUCAAGCAUAAUAUCAAGCUUGUAACGGCAGACAAAUCUUCAACGUAAAUGCAGUAUAAAUGUCAAGACGUAAUCUUAGCUUACUUUCUAAAUUCAAACCUGCAAAGCUGUGUAUAUAUAUGUUAACAAUUGUAUUACUCAAGGUGUGGCGAAAUAUACAAUUCUGAAGUUUAUCAAAUAGCUCAACUCUCUGAAAUUUCUUAUCUUCAUCAGGGUGAUCAUUUUAAAGAUUUUUUAGUAUAAUUUCUCAAAGUAUAAUGGGGAAAUGAAAACACGAUCAAAGCACAAGAAUAUUUUUUUUUUUUGUAAUUAUCCAUGAACUCAUGAAUAGUUGUAAAGUUUUUGAAGUGAGAUAAUGUUUGGUGAUUUAACUAGUUAGUUGGCCUGCAUUUUAUCGCGUGAUGAAGAAAUUUCUUGCUUUGCAAUGAAAAAUAAAAAGAAUUAUCUUGCAAUAUCGAUAAUAAACACAACAAAUUAAAACAAAAUAAAACUAAGUUUGUUUACAUGUUGGUCGUUAAUUUAAGAUUAAAAUUUAUGGUUAAUUAAAAUUUUUUUUUACUAUAUUUCAUAUGUCACAAAUAUUUGUGUUAUAAAUAUUGUUAUUUUUAUUAUAAUUAAAAAUACUAAUAUAAAAAUAUUGUUGUUUGUGCUAUAAAUAUGAUUAUUUUUAUUAUAAUUAAUUUGAUUAAUAAAAUAAUUAAUAAAUUUGAAAAACAAAUUAUUAUCAAUAUUGAAAAACAACCAUAGAUUUGAUUUGAAAUGUAAAAUUGAAAAUUGUUAUUGUUAUCAUUAAUAAAUUUGAAAAAAAAAUACUAUUAUUACUAUUGAAGAAAAUCCAUAAUUUUUCAAAAAAAUUAAAAAAUAUAAGAAUUUAGACGGACAAGUUAAAUAUUAUUAUUUAUAUUAUAAAUAUUAUCGUUGGGUUUGACAUUACAGUUAGACUCGACUCCUUCAAUUCUUGUGUUGCAACCAGACCAAAGCUUUUGAGUCAUAUAUUUUUUUUAUAUUUUUUAUGAAAAUAAAACGUUGGCCGCAACCUAACUAAUAAUUACUAAAUGAGGACUCCAAAUAAAUUAAUUCAUUUGAUUGCUAUGUGAGAUUUUUUAUAAAAUACUUCAAGGAAAACAAACAUAUUAAAAUCAUAAAAACAUUUUACUAUAAAAUAUUAUACAGAAUAAACGUAACUUACUCUAAAUUUCCUCAAACAAUCUUGCAUUGCAAGAUUAAAUGGGCAGUAACAACGCCAGGAAUGCUUUCUUGUGGAUUUAAACACAUUUUUCUAUUCCUCUUAAUUAUGGGAGGGGGGAGCUAUCUUCUGCUGUGUAGGAAGAUCUGAUGAAACAAAGGAACAAUUGUUUUCAUUUUACCAAAAACAUAUUUAGUGGAGUCGUACUAUUGAUUAAAAAUCAUCUACCAGAAGUGGAGUAUCCUCAAUACAAGUUGUUGCAACUCUGAAGAACAUAUUGCUAGUAUUUGUUGAGACUUGAGAAUAGCAUUACCCAUCUAGAAACCUGGCCAAAAUAUAGGUUUCAGUUUUCCAGCCAUAAUCCCGACAAAUGAGAUAAGGUGGGAAACAACUUUACAGGCAUUAACAUUAGAAUAAAAAUCAUCAGGAAGCUCCUAAAUGCUGCGUAAACAUAUAGCAAUUUUAUAAAGAAAAGGAAUACAUGACAUGAAAAUAAAAUACAAAUACUUUGCAGGUGAAUUCCUUAUUAUGAACCACAAAACGCAGCUCAUACAGCGGUAAAAAAAGAAGUAGGACUUGGAGGGAUUGGGAUUUCGACGGUCCCAUCCAACAUGAGGAGGACCAUUUUCAUUGAAGGGCGGAGGGAUGGCUCAUCAAGAGUGCACCAAAGUCCCACUUUAACCAUCCUAUCUAACUGUUUCUUUUCGACGACUUCUUCACCCACAAGUUUGUCCAUAUCACCGUCCUGAAAACAUUGAUAAACCCACUGUUCGAGAACAGCUUCAUCCUCUGGAAGACUCCAAUCCACAUUCUUUCGACAACACGUGAUCUCCAACAACAUAACUCCAAAGCUAUAAACAUCUGCUUUAACUGUCACCGGCAUAUUCCGGUGCCAUUCUGGUGCUACAUAUCCCCUUGUCCCUCUGAUUCCCGUGAAGGUUUUAGUUUGGUCUGACUUCAGAAACUUUGCCAAUCCAAAGUCAGAAACUUUGGGGCACCUGCUUUCAUCUAUUAGUAUAUUCUGAGGUUUUAUAUCACAGUGGAUGAUCUGAGUGUCGCACUCUUCAUGUAGAUAAACAAUACCCCUUGCAAUGUUGCGAGCAAUUUCCAACCUUUCAGGGAAGCAAGGUCGUUUUUCAAGUGAGAAGAGUAUGUCAGCAAGGGAGCCAUUGCUCAUGUACUCGUAUACCAGGAGCCUGUGAUGUUCAUCAUGGCAAUAGCCGAGCAGACGGACUAGGUUUCUGUGAUGUGUUUUCCCAAUGACUUUCAUCUCAUUCUGAAAUUCUCUUUCCCCUUCAGCUAGAGCUUUCUCCAGUCUCUUGACAGCAACAACCUUCCGAGUACUUGAUAUUAUCCCUUUAUAAACUGUCCCAAAUGAUCCCCUGCCAAUUUCUUCCUUGAAACCACCAGUAACAUCUUCUAGCUCUGCAUAAGUGAAAGCUCGAGGAGCAAAUUCCUCAUUCAAUGCACUACCAUCAUUUUUGGGAACCUUUUUAUAUGCCAAUACAUGAUAUCUGUAAAUGAUGAUUCCGAAAAUCGCCACCAUAGCAAGCCCAAAAGCAACAACUGAACAACUUAUUAUUACGAUUCUCCUGCCAGUGCCAAGGUUCUUCUUCUCUUUUCUGUCCAUGGAGGAUAUGGGUCUACCCACCUUGACGACAGCCAAGUUGGAACUUUCUAAGUUUCUCCUCCCAAAUCUCAAAGGAAGCCUUUGCUUUCUGCAGUACUGCCCAUCAGUGAAUAAUGCUGCUUCACAGUUACAGUCUUCCAAACAGGCUUGCUUACAAUUGUCUUUCAUUGUUAAAGACAAAACGGAGUAUGAAACAUCUUCCCAGAAUAUUAGACAGCUCUUCCAUGGUGUAUGUGCUACUUCCAUUCUUGUUUGCAACUUUCAGCAUGAAAUCCCUCUCACAGCCAGAAGUCCAAUUUCCCUGGGUAACAAACUUAAAUCCAGGAAGACAAAUACAUUCAGCUUCCUGAUCCUUCAACACAAUAUCCAUUAAGACCGCAUGAUCCUUUCGGGUGGCACUUUGCUUGUGGAUGACCACACAGCUGACCAGUUUCCAUUCCGUGUCAGAUUUUGUGAAUAUAAUCUGAAAAUCCCAUCAGCAUCAAGUUUCAUAUUAAUUGUUUCUUUCGUGGGAUAUCCUCCAGCUGUAAUGUUUUUAUGUUGAAACCUGUGGAAUUGAGCAGGUAGAGACGGCCAUCCGGAUCAAGAUUUAGGGUCACAUUAUCUCCCGCCCCAUUAGUAUCAGAUGCAAAAUAAGCAUAUGGAGCUGUAUCUGGAGUACUAACAGGAUACUGCACAAGGUGUCCAUCAUGUUGCAUCUUGAGUCGGUAAAUACCAGUUGAGAGGUCAGUUUCUGAAACAGGAGAAACCAGCUCUGCCCCUGCUCUGAGCUGUUGAGUUGGCAAAAGGGUAUCUGUUGGGUGGUCAAAACUCUGCCAUAUAAUCUCGUGAUCAGAAUUAUAUAGCACAAAGUUGCCUGAAUCAGACAUAGAAGCUAAAGAAGCUGGCUGGGAAGCAGAAACUAUCGGAGUCUCAUCCCCUUGUGCUGAUCUCAAGACAACCCUGCCAUCACUGGUGAAGAGCAAGGUCGCAUUACUGGGGACUGGGGCGUCAUCCCUUCUAGCAAAGAAAGAGAAGAUGCUUUACAAGAGGCACAGAAGCAAGUCCUUAAAGUCAACAGAAAGAAGGACAACAAAGCAAAGACCAUCAUCUAUCAAGGUCUUGAUGAAGAUACAUUCGAGAUAAUAGCUUCCGCUGAAACGUCACAUGAUAUAUGGGAGGCUCUCCAACAAAAAUACAAAGGUGCUGACAGAAUCAAGAAGAUUCGUCUUCAAUCUUUGAAAGGAGAAUUUGAAUUAUUACGAAUGAAGUCCUCAGAAUCUAUUUCUGAUUAUCAUACAAGGAUUAUGGUGAUAGUCAAUCAGAUGAGGAGAAAUGGAGAAGCCAUCAUAGAUACUCGAAUUAUUGAGAAAAUUUUGAGAUCCAUAGAUCCAAAAUUUGAUCAUGUUGUUGUCGCAAUUGAAGAGUCCAAGGAAGUGGACAAGUUGACAGUGGAUGAGCUUAUGAGUUCUUUGCAAGCUCAUGAGCAGAAGAUUGUAAUGCGAAAUGAAGAUAAGGCCAUUGAGCAUGCCUUACAAGCAAAGCUGUCUUUCAAGGACAGAUAUGAGCAAGGGGAGACUUCAACAAGUGGCUACACCACUCAAGGAGGAAGUCAACAAUCCAGAGGAGGAUUCCAGAGAUUCCAAGGAAGAGGUUCUUGGAAUACAAGCUUCAGAGGAAGAGGUGGUAGAAACACCACCAGAGGAGGCCAAGGCCAACAAGCAUUCACUCCCAGAGGAAGAGGAGGCGGUUACAAUAACCGUGACAAGAGGAAUAUCCAAUGUUAUAGUUGCAAUCAAUUUGGGCACUAUAGCACUGAAUGCCGAUGGAAAGCUCCGUUGGAGAUACGUGAGCAAGCCAACUAUGUAGAGAAGCAUGAUGGAGAAGCAUCUGCAUUUCUUGUCCAACAAGGACAUGGCGAGAAAAAGAGGAGAUAUGGUAUCUAGAUACUGGAGCCAGCAAUCACAUGUGCGGCUACCGAGAGUUAUUUGGUGAUCUAGAUGAGACCAAGCAAGGUCUAGUUACUUUUGGAGAUACCACAAAGGUUCCAUUCAAAGGUAAAGGCAACAUCCCAGUCAAGUUGAAGAAUGGCGAUUCCAGCUACAUCGCCGAUGUGUAUUAUGUCCCAGCCAUAAAGCAGAACCUGAUCAGCUUAGGUCAACUUUUGGAGAGAGGAUAUAUUUUUACUCGAAGAAUUGUCAUCUGCAAUUAGAGACAACAAUGGGAGAUUAAUGGCCUACGUGAAAAUGUCCAAGAAUAGGAUGUUUCCUUUGAACAUCCAGUAUGAUGCAACAAGGUGUUUGAGUGCCAUCACCAACAGUGAAGAAUGGCUUUGGCACCUGAGGCUUGGACAUCUGAAUUUCACAAGUUGAAGAUGCUAGCAAGCAAGAAGAUGGUCAAAGGUUUGCCUCACAUUGAUCAUCCAGAUGAAGUCUGUGAGAGUUGUGUCCUCAGCAAACAUCACAGAUCCAGUUUUGCCAAAGAAGUCAACUGGAGAGCAAAGAGGCCACUGGAGUUAGUACACACAGAUGUGUGUGGCCCAAUUACGCCUAUGUCGACUGGACAAAAUAGGUACUUCCUCACUUUUACUGAUGAUUUUAGUAGAAAGACGUGGAUAUACUUUCUGAAGAGGAAGUCAGAAGUAUUCAAUUGUUUUAAAGAUUUUAAAGCAAUUGUGGAGAAGCAAACUGGUUACACGAUCAGAACCGUAAGAUCUGAUCAAGGUGGAGAAUAUACAGCAAAUGACUUUGAAGCCUAUUGUACACAACAAGGCAUCAGACAUCAGACGACGCCAGCUUAUACACCACAGCUGAACGGUGUAGCAGAAAGGAAGAAUCGCACGAUUCUUGACAUGGCAGAAGUUGCUCAAAGCAAAGAAGCUGCCCAAGCAAUACUGGGCUGAAGCUGUAUCAUGUGCAGUGUAUCUGUUGAAUCGCUGCCCAACCAGAAGUUUGCAAGGAGUCACUCCAGAAGAAGCAUGGAGUGGUCACAAACCAAGUGUUACUCAUCUACGAGUCUUUGGUUGUGUGGCAUAUGCAAAGAUCCCAGAUGCAAGAAGGAGAAAGCUCGAUGAUAAGAGCGAGAAAUGCAUCUUUGUCGGAUAUGGUGAAAGAAGGAUGGGAUACAGACUGUAUAAUCCCAUCACGAAGAAGGUGAUUACGAGUAGAGAUGUUAUCUUUGAAGAAGAUAAAUCUUGGGCAUGGAAUGUGAUCAAGAAGCAGUCAAAUGGAUCAAUCUUGAUUUGAUCCUUGAAGGUGAAGAAGUACCAACAGUACUUGUAGAAGAACCGAUUGUGCCAGCAGCUGAACCACAAAGUCCAGUGUUUAUACCAGUAGCUGAACCACAAAGUCCGGUACACAGAUUCCCUGUAUUCAACAGGAGGAACACACCAGGAGCAUCAUCAUCAACACCACCAUCAGCAUCCUCGUCAGAAGGACCAAGAAAGAUGCGGAAUCUUGAAGAGUUGUACGAUACCACUCAGGUCAUGGAAGAUACAACUUUGUUUUGUUUCCAUGCAGAUAAGGACCCACCAGAAAAGAAGAAAGCAAAAGGUGUCAAAAGGGUCUACAAGACGAAAGCCAAAUUAGUGGAUAAAGGCUACAAGAGAGAAGGCAUUGAAAGAAGAAGUGUCCAUGCUUGGCAUGACAUCCCUCGAUUGAGUUUAAAGGGGAGAUUUGUUGAAUUAAACUCAACAUCUAGAUGGUCAAGGAAGGAAACCACCAGCUGCCACCGACCAGCCGUCAGCCACCAGCCGCCUUCACACCGCCGGUCAACAGCCGCCUUCACACCUGGAACAGUAGAUUUUUGUAUUCUGAAUUUAUGUAUAAAUAGGGUGCUCAGUUAUGUUAAAUUGUGUGGAGAGAAUUGAGAGAAACACUUGAAAGAGAAAGAGAGAGAGAGAGGGCGUGUAUUAAGCUUUUGUUUUGUGUUAAUUGUAAGCUUCGGUUUUGUGUAAUAAAACAGUGUGUUUUAUCCCCUCUGAGUGUCUCAAAGCCACCACCAGUGGUUUCUCCCACCAACAGCCCACACAACAGUCUUUAGUGAAAUCCCGGAUAGAAAAACCCCUAUAGAAUAGCCGUCGCGUUGUCGGAAAAAUCCGAAAGCAUAAAGACCAGAAGGUGACAACCAUAAGGAGUUUGUGAAAGGUGUUAGAGAAGAUCCGAGGGUUAUAUUGGUCUGUCUUUGAGCUGAAGCUGUAAAAGAUAAGGCGAGAAGAAGAAAAAAGAUGAUAGAAGCCAUGGAUAGGGAUUUAGCUCUUGUCUGGUAUGGGAGUGUCAAUAUAAGGAUGUCUAAUGUUCCAGCACUCCAGUCUCUUUCUUUGGGUUCCAGCAGUCAAGCCAGGCACUCAGAACAUGAAAGUCUAGCCAUAAAAUCCACGCUUGCUUGUAUGCUUUCAAAGUCAAUGCAGUUGCGACGCCCCAUUUGAACAGCCAUUUGCUAAUUUCCCCUGGACUGUUCUUGGUUCUAAUUUUCUGCAGCAGAUUCUUUUUUAUUUGUCAAGUACCAUCAAUAUGCUUUUGAUAACAUAUUGAUGGUAUGGUUUUUUCUAUGGUUUUUUCAAUGGACCGUUGAUUCUAUGGUUUUUUUCCACACGUAUUUUGCAGGAACAGAAAUUGGACGUAUGAGUAAAGUAAUGUAUCUCUUGUCCUUGGCUGUAGCCAGUCUUUCUUUGAGCGUGUUUGGAAUUAAGAUAGUAAUAAUGGUUUAAAAUGUUUUUUAUUUAAAAAUAUAUUAAAAUAAAAAUUUGUUAUUUUAAAAAAAAUUAUUUUUAAUUUUAAUAUAUUAAAAUAAUUUAAAAAUAUAAACAAAAUUUAAAAUUUAAAAUAACAGAAAUGUGUUCGAUUGACGGAUUGAGGGUGCCCCUGUAUGACUUUAUUCAGAGUAUAAUUAAGGUGGUCACAACAGGGACUGUUCUCAGCAAAAAUGUCUUCUCUGACUAGCUUCAAAGCCAUGGGUGCGCUUUGAGGGGCUUUAUAAUUUAUUUAUUAAAAAUGUAUUAUGAAAAAGUAAAUAUGUAAAUCUUCAUGGGAGAUCUCUAAUAGAUGAAUUCUACAUUUUUUUUUGCCCGUAAGUUUUUUCUAACUUUAAAAAAUAUAAAGUCCAUGCAGUUAUAACUUAAAUCAACCUGGAUUAAUUUAACUAAUAUACAAAGCUCAAGGUGCAAUUAUUUAAUAUUAAAAAUUAAAAUUAUAUAAAUAAAAAAUAUUAAAUAAAAAAAUUUAAGUCAACUCAUCACCCGCAAUACAAGACUAGAACUAAAAAAUAAUUAAAAAAAAACUUAAAAAAACUCAUGAGCACUGUAUAUUGAAAUUGAAAAUGCUGUUGAAAGUUAUAUUUAUUGAAAUUAAAGGUUUUUUCAUAUUUUCAUAAAGGUUUACAUCAUUGUUUUACUUUUUUUAAAAAAAUUAUUAUUUGACAUUGUUUUUUUUUUAAAAAGGCUUUGUAGUUUUUAAUUUUUAUUUCAAUUGUAGUGUCUCGAUCUUAUAAUUUAAAUUAUAAAUUUACUGGGUUAAUUCAAGUUGACUCGAUCCUUUUUCUAGAUUCACUUUUCUAUGAAAGGAAUUUUACUCUCUUUUUUAACAUUAUUUUUUUAAAAAAAUAAAAUUAGUUCAUCCCUGUGGCGCAGAGCAGGUGCACAUCUAGUCUCUCUGCUAAAUGUUUUGCAAUCUGAUUUGCUUCUCUAAAUACAUGACUGAAACUGACUAAUAUAUAAUUAAACAAACUCUAGAGAAUCCCAUACAUACCUAAUCGUUUGAACGCGAAAUUGAUGCAUUUGGAUGUAAAGUGAAAACCGUAAAUUAGGACUCCUAAAUUUCUAGUUUUUAGGGUUCAGAUUUCUAUCAGUCAUGAAGAGAGAGAUUUUGAUUUUUUUUUGAGAGAUAAAGGAGGACAAGAGAAAGUAUUGAAUGUGAGUGUUACCAGUCAUUUCUUAUAUAUUAUAUAUAUGAGGGUAAUUUUUUUUUUUGAUUAUUUUAAAGAUUUUUUAUUAUAAUUUCUCAAAGUAUUUUUUAUAAUGGGGAAAUGAAAACACGAUCAAAGCACAAGAAUGAUAAAUAUCCGUUCUCAUCUUGCGGGGGGAUAUUGGAACCUAGCGCAUACUCACACAAAACAUAAAGAAGCUAAGGAUGCAGACAAUUCUUCAUUGCUUGCGGAGCAAGUAACCCCUGCAGCCGACUCCCCUACACCAAAAGACUAACGAAGACUAGCCAAGUUAUCAUAACACAUUGUAAAUUGUGGAUAUAAUAAAGUUAGUUAUAUACUGUUAAAGUUAGUUAGAAUAUGUGUAUAUAUAUGUAUUCAUGUAUACUGCAAAAGAGACAAAUAAUAAGAGAAGAAAUACUGCAUAUUGAUUGCAGACUUUCCAAACGUAUCUUCCUUCUUCUUCUCUCAUAAGAAAUUUUAUUCUCUUCUUCUUUCUCUACUUCUACAGGAAAGAAUAAAUUCUGCUAUAACAAAAUUAUUAUGGUAUCAGAGCAAGAUUUCUUCUAAAUCUCUGAAAAUAUAUACUCUUCUUUAUUUUUUUUCAGAAAGAUUCAAGAUCUUUGUAGUUGGAUAUUUUUCUGUCAUCAACUUCUUGAUUCCUUCAAAACUUCAAAAUGUCUGAUCAUCUUGAAGAAAGUGCUUCUACAGCACAUAAAGAUUCAUCCAAUAUCACUACUCUGAAUCUUUCUGAUGAUUCUUCCAGCUGCUACUACCUCCAUCCUUCUGAUAAUCCUGGCGCACUUCUAGUUUCUGAAAUCUUCACUGGCGAAAAUUAUAUUGCAUGGAGCAGAUCCAUGACAAUUGCCUUAACAGUGAAAAACAAGAUUGCCUUCAUUGAUGGAUCUUUAGUUCAACCAAACACCACCAAUCAAUCACUUUGUGUGGCAUGGCUGAGAUCAAACAAUCUGGUUCUAUAAUGGCCGAUGAAUUCAAUUGCCAAAGAAAUUAGCAACAACCUUCUUUACUUCACAACAACAUUCGAUAUCUGGGAAGAAUUACGAAUGAGAUAUCUUAGAAGUGAUGGACCAAGGGUUUUUAGUUUAGAAAAAUCUUUGAGUUCUAUUUCCUAGAAUUCAAAAUCUAUCACUGAAUAUUUCAGUGAAUUCAAGGCACUAUGGGAUGAAUACAUCAGUUAUCGCCCAAUCCCAAGCUGCAAAUGUGGAAAUCUUGAUUCCUGCUCAUGCAACAUUUUUAAACAUCUAACAGAUCGACAACAAUCCGACUUUGUUAUGAAAUUUUUGGUUGGCCUUCAUGAUUCUUACUUAGCAGUUAGAAGCCAACUAUUGCUCCAAACUCCUUUGCUAUCUAUGGGCAGAGUCUUUUCCCUACUUCUUCAAAAAUAGAGUCAGAGAUCCCUAACAAAUGCAGCAGGCAUUCCAAUUGAUUGCCAAGCAAUGAUUGCUGAACACUACCACAAUCAAAAUUCCAAAUCAGGUUCAACAUAUACUACACGCUUUGCUAAACAAAAAGGAAAAACUGAGGCAACCUGCUCCCACUGUGGAUAUCCUGGACAUACUAUUGAUAAAUGUUUCUAACUUAUUGGAUACCCUCUUGGGUGGAAAGGAUCAAGAGGAAAAAGAUUUGCUACUAUGCCACAGACCAGCAAAAACUUUCAACGAUUACCCACUGCACAUCAUACUACUAUCUUGCAACCACAUCUUGACACCCCUAACAUUGUUUUCUCUCAAGAACAGAUGCAAAAUCUACUCACUCUAGCAAAUAGCAUUUCCAGCUCAAAGAUAAAUAACACUACUAAAGAAGUAUCUACAUCAGGUAUAUCUUUUUCAUGUCAUACAUCAUCUUCACCUCAAAAUAGAUUUUCAUGGAUUCUUGAUACUGGAGCCACAUAUCACAUGAUUUGUAGUCCUCUUCUUUUUUAAUCCAUCAUUCUCCCUAAAACUCAGUCUAAAACUCAGUCUAAAGUUCAUCUGCCAAAUGGUCAACAUGUACCAAUUCUCUUCACUGGAACGGUUAAAUUUUCUCCUGACAUCAUUUUAUACAAUGCACUUUAUGUUCCAGCUUUUAAUAUCAAUCUAAUUUCUGUUUCUAAAUUAACUGCCGCUAACACUGUUGGCUUAUUUUUUCUUCACACAAAAUGUAUUCUGCAGGAUCUAAGCAAAUGGAAGAUGAUUGGUCUUGCUGAAGCUGAAUCUGGUCUCUACAAUCUUCACAAACCCCCUGAUCAAAAUACUAAAGAAUCACCUCCUAGAUCAAACAUCAAAUCCUGUGUUGUUGCGACAAAUCUCUAGCAUUUACGUUUAGGCCACAUCCCUCCCUCCAAAAUCACCCUUUUGAACAAAACUGAUCCUUCAGUCACUAUCAGCAACAAUACCAUUUGUGAUAUUUGCCCCCUAGCUAAACAAAAACGGUUGCCCUUUUCUUUAUCUAUUCAUAAAUCUACAACAGCUUUUCAAUUAGUUCACAUUGACAUUUGGGGACCAUUCUCUGUUACCUUUUAUUCUGGUUAUCAAUUUUUUCUUACUAUUGUAGAUGAUUACAGUAGAUUUACUUGGUUAUUUUUAAUGAAAUCUAAAUCUGAAACAAGACAUCUUCUCAGCAAUUUUCUAGCCUAUGUUCAUACUCAAUUUAACACCAACAUUCAAACUCUCAGAUCCGACAAUGGCCAAGAAUUUAAUAUGCCUACUUUCUACCAAACGCAUGGCAUCAUACAUCAAUUAACAUGUGUUGAAACACCUUAACAGAAUGGAAGGGUUGAAAGAAAACAUCAACACCUGCUCAAUUUAGCUCGAUCUCUUCUGUUUCAAUCCCAACUACCUUUAUCUUAUUGGACAAAUUGCAUACUCACAGCCACACACCUCAUUAAUCGUACCCCCUCCCUCAUUCUCCAAAAUCAGACACCUUACCAAGUUCUUUAUCACAAACCACCAUAUUACAAUUACUUAAGAGUAUUCGGCUGUUUAUGUUUUGCUAGCACAAUCACACAUAAUAGAGGUAAAUUUCAUCCCAGAGCCACGAAAUGUAUUUUUCUUGGAUACCCUCCACACAUUAAAGGAUACAAAGUUCUUGACUUAACCAUUUGCAAAACCUUUGUAUCUCGAAAUGUUGUUUUUCAUGAAUCCACCUUUCCAUCUAUUCCAAACAAAGUUCAUACACCCCUUGUGUUCCCUGACUAUCCUCAAAAUUUUGACCCUUUUCCUUGUCUCCCAUCAAACACAACUCUACAUGAUUCUGUUGUUCCUGCAAAACUUCCUAUACAACCUCCUGUUCCUCACAUUUCUCCCCUACCUCCUCCUCCUCUUCCCCAACUUAGAAAAUCUGAAAGAAAUAAACAUCCACCUACUUACUUAACACAGUAUUAUUGUGGACAUAUGGCUCAGAUUGCUUCAGCAACUCCAGACUCUCCACCUUGCUCCCUGCCUGGUAAGCCCUACUCUAUCUUUUCUUUCUUGUCUACCUCCCAAUUAUCUUUACCCCACUGUGCUUUCACUUCUUCUGUUUCAUCUGUUUAUGAACCGAAAACUUACAAACAAGCUAGCUCUAUCCCUCAUUGGCAACAUGCUAUGACCAAUGAAAUCAAAGCUCUUGAGAAAAACAAAACUUGGGACUUAGUCAUUCUGCCACCAAAUAAAACUGUCAUUGGAUGUAAAUGGGUCUACAAAGUUAAAUUUCAGGCUGAUGGACAGGUUGAAAGAUAUAAAGCACGAUUGGUAGCAAAAGAAUACACACAACAAGAGGGAAUUGAUUUUUUUGACACUUUCUCUCCUGUUGCAAAAAUCACAACAGUACGAGUUCUUCUCACCAUUGUUGCAGCCAACAAUUGGCAUUUACAUCAACUUGAUGUAGACAAUGCCUUCCUACAUGGUGACUUAUAUGAGGAAGUAUAUAUGCAAUUACCACCUGGCUACUCCAAUCACAAUGACCCUCGAAUCUGCAAGCUCAAAAAGAGCAUCUAUGGUCUUAAACAGGCUUCUAGACAAUGGUUUUCCAAACUCUCUGCAUCUCUACUUCACUUUGGUUUUCUACAAGCCAAAUCAGAUUCUAGCCAUUUCAUCAAGCAAUCUCACACAGCCCUCAUUGACAUUUUAAUCUAUGUUGAUGAUGUUCUCAUCGCCUCCAAUGAUCUUACAGCACUGACUAUAGUAAAAAACUACCUUCGCACAAUUUUCCCUAUCAAAGAUUUGGGAAACCUUAAAUACUUUCUCGGUAUUGAGGCAGCUCGAUCUACCAAAGGCAUUGUUCUUUUCCAAAGAAAAUAUGCCUUGGACAUACUUACAGACAGUGGUUUUUCUGGCGCUAAACUUGUCAAUUUUCCAAUGGAAUCCACACUCAAACUCAGCACACAUGAUACUAGCCCUCCCUUGACUAAUCCUGCAUCUUAUCGUAGACUUAUUAGCAAGCUUCUCUAUCUUACACUCACAAGACCAGACUUAUCCUAUGCCAUCCAAACUCUCAGCCAAUUCAUGUCAAACCCUCACACCCUAUAUAUGCAAGCAGCAGAGAGAGUUCUUCGGUAUCUCAAAGCCACACCAGGAAAAGGCUUACUUCUCAAAGCUGCUUCUCCUCUUCAUUUAAAAGCUUAUUCUAACAGUGAUUGGGGAGGUUGCAUUGACACUCGUCGACGUGUUACUGGCUACCUAGUCUUUCUUGGAGAUUCAUUAAUAUCCUGGAAAUCAAAGAAACAACCUACUGUAAGUAGGUCCUCUGCAGAAGCUGAAUAUCGGGCAUUGGCAACUACUUCAUGUGAACUACAAUGGCUUACUUAUUUACUAGCCGAUUUCCACAUCCCUCACUCUCAACCUGCCUUACUCUACACUAACAGCAAACCAGCCUCCGAAAUAGCUUACAACCCUGUUCAUCAUGAACGCACCAAACAUAUCCAACUUGACUGUCAUCUUGUACGUGAAAAAAUGCAAGAAGGACUCCUUACCAUCAUUCACAUUCCUUCCAAAUUUCAAUUAGUUGAUGCCCUCACUAAACCACUUGGUUAUCACAUGCUUAAUCCUCUCCUUGACAAGAUGGGAAUGAUAAAUAUCCAUUCUCAUCUUGCGGGGGGAUAUUGGAACCUAGCGCAUACUCACACAAAACAUAAAGAAGCUAAGGAUGCAAACAAUUCUUCACUGCUUGCGGAGCAAGCAACCCCUGCAGCCUACUCCCCUACACCAGAAGACUAACGAAGACUAGCCAAGUUAUCAUAACACAUUGUAAAUUGUGGAUAUAAUAAAGUUAGUUAUAUACUGUUAAACUUAGUUAAACGUUUGUUAACGUUUUAUUAACAGAAGCUAGUUAGAAUAUGUGUGUAUAUAUGUAUUCAUGUAUACUGCAAAAGAGACAAAUAAUAAGAGAAGAAAUACUGCAUAUUGAUUGCAGACUUUCCAAACGUAUCUUCCUUCUUCUUCUCUCAUAAGAAAUUUUAUUCUCUUCUUCUUUCUCUGCUUCUAUAGGAAAGAAUAAAUUCUGCUAUAACAAAAUUAUCAUAAUUAGAGAAAAACAAUUUACUAUAUUUCAUAUGUCACAAAUAUUUUUCAUAAAAUAAAUACAACUUAACUUUGAUAAAUGAUACCUCUAGAAAUGUGGAAUCCAUUUAUAAUUGAAUUAAAAUUAUAUUGAAAUGCUUCUUAUCAGAACAGAAAAAAAAAACAUAUUGAAAUGGGCCUACCAAAUACAGCAUUAAAUAUUUUAAUUACCAUAAAAUUGACAACUAGCAAUGAAAUUAACAACAAAAAAUAUUUUCAUUGGUAAUAUCCGAUGAAAAUAGCAAUGAAACAUAUCCAUUAAAUAUUAAAAAAUUAAAUAGCAAUGGAAUAUGUGCAAUCAAUAAUUAUCAAUGAAAUUGGCAAUGAAAUAAAAAUAAUUAGAAAAAAUAAAUAAAUAUUAUGUCAGCAAUUCCAUCGAUAAUAUGACACAUCAUUAUUUACAAAAUGUUUCAUUGGUAUUCACCGAUGAAAAUAUUUCAUCAGUAGUUUUCAUUGGAAGUUUUGUCGAUAAAUUUACAAGUGUUACAACCAACAACAACCCGCCCUAUCCAUUUCUUCUUCUUAUUUAAUAUCAGAAAAUAGGUACCCUCCUUGUUAUGUCACAAAUCUAGGCCUUGUAUUUAUAAAUUUGACCACCCCAACAUUCAAUAGUGUCAGUAUUAUUAUCUCGGUUCAAUUUUUUCUAAAUACUCACUACACCAAGUAAGCAAACCUACAUAUUUAUGUUUUAGGUUAAUUUAUUGAUAUUUUUGUAAUAUUUUGUAAUUUAAUUGUAUAUUUAAGUGUUUUACAUCUGUUUUUCCUUAAGAAUUUUGUUGUAUUAAAGAAUGAUUUGUAUGUUAGGAUUUGUUUGGGAUUUGAAGAAAAUUGAAUUUGUUUUUCAUUUGAUGAAUUUAAGUUUGAUUUUGUAAUUUAUGUUUGUUAUAUCAGAAGAAAUGAUAAGUUAUUUAAUAGAUAUAAUUAUAUUUUGUCGAUUUUAUUAAGUUUGGAAAUUUUACUAGGUGUGUUAUGCAACCCAAGAUUAAAGACGCGUUGUAGUGUUUUGAUCAUAAACAUUUCAUAAUCCAACAUAAAACAACCAUCACUUGUCAUUUAGGAGUUAGAUUCAAGAACAAAUUAUUGUUGCAAAGGCUAAACUUGAGGUAGAGUAUGAAGAAUGAAGUAGAAAGCAAUGAAAGUAAAUGAUAAUAUACAUGUAGACUUAUUAUUCUCCCACUGGAAAUAUUCAUCCCCCUCCACCUCUACCUUCAUAUGCAGCUCCAACUUUAGUUAGUUAGGAGUUUAUCUAAUAUAUUAAGAUAUUUAUAAUUGAUUUUAUAAUUAAAUUAAUGAAAUAAAAUGUGUUCUUUAAUUUAAUAUAAUUAAAUAUUAAUUUGUUUAAUCUAAAUAAACAUUUAUUAAAAAAAAUAAACAACAAACAUAGAAAUUAAGUUGAUGAUUUUGUCAAUUACAUCAGUCUAUUUGUAUCUAAAAAUUACAUAAAAAUUGUUUAAUUUUUUGGCAUCAUUGAUACAAUCACUGCCAUAAUUUUUAUGUUCACGAUCCGUCAUCGAUACAUGAUCAAUUACCGACUGGUAUUCUGUCGUUUAUCGUUUAUGCCUUGGAACUGUACCUGUGUGUAGGUAUGGACAAUUGCUUUUUAGGCAAGAAACUGCGUUGUGGGAUAGGAGAAGAAGGGGCAGAAACAAGCAAAGAUCAUUCUCUCAUCCUAUUCUUCAUGAAGAGCUCUCACUCUUGAGAUUACAUCAGACCAACAAAAGUUGUUUUUACUCAUCCUAAUAAGAUCAUCACAGAGAAGAUUGGCAAGGAACUUCUAAGUACUGGUGUUGUUUUGAUUUCCUUUUCUUUGGUGGUCUUUGCAUCAUCUGACUUGAUGGUCAUGAUGACACGCCAAGCUUCUCCACCAGAUGUCACUGAAGGUAUUAAGAUCUGCACCUUUUAGCUACGAUCAACUCGCGGUGGCCACGAUGAUUCAAGGAAGAGAUCGGUAAAGGGGCAUCAGGAGGCUCUGUAGAGGCUCGUUAGCAAAGAAUGACGGGAAAGAAAUAGCAGUGGAGAGUCUAGAGAAGGUGGUGGAAGAUGGAGAAGGGGAGUUCCGAAACGGGGUGAAGAUAAUGGAGAGGACUACAAUAACUUGGUACGUUUGAUUGGCUUUUGCAGUGAAGGAUCAAAUAGGCUUCUUGUGCAUGAGUUCAAGAUCAUUCAUUGUAACAUAUUUUCUUCUCUAGAGUUUAUAAUAAAUAAAUUAUUUGUAAGAAAACGAAGUUCAGUUGCAUUGUUGAUGGUGUUCCAAAAUUUACUAUGUUUAGAAAUGAGAAUUUUAAGUGUUUAAAUGAAUGAUGAUUAUACAUUCACUUCUAUAUUUUCUUGUUCACAAUUCAUAAAAUUGAUUGUUGGUGAUAAAAGACUUGACACUUAUAAAAUAGUUUUUUUUUUGUGGGGCUUAGGGGGCAUCUGAAUGAUAAAGUUAAUGACUUUUUAUAUGAGAUUAUAAUAAAUUAAGAAAAUAAGCUUUAAAUAAAAAAAUAAAUAAAAAUGUUUGUUCUUAUUUAUGUAUGAUAAAACACCUUGAAAAUAAGAAUAUAAACACUUUAAAGAAUAGAAAAAGUGUGAACCUUUUACUUGAAUGGUUCAGAGAAAUUUAUAAUGCCUGAACUUUGUUGUUUUUUUUAAGGGGUGGAUAGUCACUUCCUUUUGAAAAUGUAAAUGAGAAAAAACAUCUUACACAACAUUAAUUUUAAUGGAAAUAACCCUUACAUUAAUAUUGAUUGGAAUACGUAGGACUUGUAAGAGAUUUUUAUAUAUUAUUUUGUAUGUAACAUUAAUGUUGAUGGGAAUUGUCUUUAAUCAACAUUAAUUUUGAUUAGAAUAUGACAGGUUUUUGAAAGAUUUUUAUACACCUAAGAAUAUGACUAUCAUAGACUCUUAAUAUUUUAUGUUAAGAAUUAUAAAAUAGCUUUAUGACUCAAUAUAGGGCUUAUAAAAACUUUUAACCCCAUAUGUAUUUGCACCUAGAUUGAUUUUAAACUCAAGGGUUUUGAGUCAAAUAUUUUGUCAGACCCAUAGGAACUUGAGCUUUAGCGUCAGACCUAUAUUCACUCAGGCUUAACGCGUAGCUGAGUCCAAUGGUAUUUGGUCUGGAAUCUCGUCAAACUCACAUGUACUUGAGCUCAACACAUAAUUAAACUCAAGGGUGUUGGGUCAAGAAGCAAGCCAGACUCACAUCAUCUAGGUUAACACCUUGCUUUUGACCUUUUUUAUGAUUGGCUUCUUAAGCAAACAAAUUGUGUAUAAAAUAUACUAAUCUAGUAGUGGCCCCGUAAGGGUAUUUCUUCCAUCUUGCUUUUGAGUUAAGGUAUUCCAUCCAUUUUCAAGGAUUUAUGAGAGACAUCUUUAGGUAUUAUAAAUUGGGUUUAAGCCAAUUGCACCCCAAAUGAUGGGUGAUUUUAGGGGCGAGUAAAAAAAUUAAAAAACCAAUUAAACCAAGAAAACAAAAAAAAUAACAAAAAAAACUGAACGGUGAAAAAAACCAAAUUAAACUGAUUAGAAUGUUUAAAAAAAUUGACCGGUUUAGUUUUGGUUUCAUAAGCCUAUAUAUAUAUAAAUUGUGUCCAGCUUGCUAUGUGUGGAGUCAGUUGCACAACUCUUGGGUCCUAUGUCAAGAAUUGUGACUUAGGGCGUUUCUUUCUUUGCCAAAAGCUUCUGGCAGCCAAACCCAUAACACUUCCAAAACAUACCAAUAACCUUGGGUCUUGCUACCCAACAUGGCCUAAUAGUGUUGUGAAAGGCAUAGCCAAACCCAAAACACUUCAAAAAAGAACUGGGUUUGGUUGACCAGCCAAACCCAACAAUCUUAGGUCUGGCUCGGCAGCUAAACCCAACACCUUUUUGAAGUGUUUUGGGUAUAGCUCCACACUAUUGGGUCCUGUAGUAGGACCCAAUGCUAUUGGCACCUUCUUGGGUCUAAUUGGGUAGCCUGACCCAAUAUCUUUAGGUCCGGCUGUACAACCAUACCCAAAAUAGUUUUGGGUUCGACUGUUUAACAGGACACAAUAGGUUUGGGGACCAAAUAACACUAGGUCCAAACCAAAUUUUCUUGAGUCCAGUGUCCGGACGGUGUUGCACCUGAUACUAAUGGGUUCUGCGUCGCGACCCAAUUCUCUAGUGUCCAUGUUAGGACCCAUGGUUCAAGUAUCCGGCUUUAGGACCCGAUUGUAUUUUGUCCGCGUCAGGAGCCAAGUGUAAUGGGUCCUACUUUUGGACCUAAUUAUAUUGGUAUCGCAUGUGUGCGGUGUCGCGGCGAACUGGUUUCACUUUAAAUCUAAAAGUAAAUCUAUCAAGCAAAUAUGGGGAGACAAGAAAUUUUUGUCGCUUAUCGGUGGAAAAUGGAAUGUGAGUCGCCACCUAGUAUUUUGAUCACUAGGAACCCUAACUGGUCUCAGAGAUCGGGUACGGGACUGAUUGCGUAAAUGGAAGGUAUUAGUACCCCAAAUACGCUUUACCCAAGGUAAGCUGCAUUGUUUGAUUGUCUGAUAAAAGCUAAGGUGUUAUUGUAUUUCUAGUUGUUGGUCUGUCUAUGGUUCAAGAAAAAUCCUCCUCAAUAAAGAGGUCCUUAUCUUAUCGGGUAAAAACUUAAAUGUUCUAACGUCUAUAUGAAAACUAUAUUUUUAAUAUCAGGAAUGCGUUUUACGUAUAAAUUCGUAAUCCUAGAUACUAAAAGAAGACAAAAGGAUUUUUUUUGAAUUUUUGAAAUAUUGGCCUAGUUCUCAUGACUCUAACAAACUUGUUGUUAAAGCCAAAGUGCAUGCUAAUACAUAUAUAUUUUUUUGAAAUUUUUCCCUGUUGUAUGCAAAUAUAAUGUGAUGAUUUUUUAUAUAUAUUUUGGAGAGACUAGGCCGUAUGCAUGAAAACAAAACACUUUUUUAUUUUAUUAUAUAUUUUUUAUGCCUUGAUGAAAACCGGGUAUUUUAAUACUAGAUUUUUAUCUUUACGGUAUAAAAAUACAAACCAAUAUUAAGCAAUAAAAAUAUGCAGGAAAAUCAACAAUUUUUUUAAGGAUUUUUCAGAAUUUUGAAUAUAAAACAUUUUAUAUUUUAUAUUUUUUGAUGUAUUGAUGAAAACCAUGUAUUUUAAUACUAGAUUUGUAUCUUUACAGUAUAAAAAUAAAAACCAAUAUUGAUCAAAAUGCAGUAACAAUAUUGCGGAAAAUCACAAAUUUUUUGAAAUAAUUUUUGAAGAAUUUUGUUUUUUUUAUGGGUCGGGUCCAAUUCGGCCCAUGUGGCUGGGGCGGAACCAAUAGGCCUAACUAGGCUGGACCCGGCCCAAAAGAAGACCGGGCUGAAAUCAGCCUAAAAUAAAAUGGGCCUACCUUCUAUAGGGUUGGACUCAGCCCAGCCGUAGGGCUGGGCUUAUGUUCCAGCCCGAAACAAAUGUGGAGCACAGUCCAGUUAAUUAAUUAGCACAGUAACCAGCUAAUUAUUUUUCUUGCAAGAAGAUGAACAGUAAGAGGGUUGAGGGGAAGAGUUACCAAGGGUGAUGAGCUUGGACGGAGGAGCUCUUCCUCUUCUCUGCUGUUUUUGACGUUGCUUCUUCUCUUGGUUUCCUUUGUUCCCUCUGUUAACGAUAUUCUUCCUUCUCUGCAGCGGCUUCGUGGAGGUGCUGGUGGUGGCGACCUGGGGAGGGGCUGAGAAGGUGGUUUGGCGAUGUUGUUGCUGCAGUUUUUUUUUCCUUCGUAGAGGCGCAGGUUCCUGUUUUUUCUUCAAUGGUGUUGUAGCGUGUGGGAGGAAGAUGAUGAGCUGAGGAAGGAUGACGAUGGCGUGGGCAGUGCUGUUGUGUUUGUGUUCCUGGUGGCGUUGUUGUCGGGGUAUCCGGCUGUGGUCGCUCUUCCUCCUCUCUUCUGUCGUUACUUCUCUCUGUUUAUGUCACCUUGUUUCUCUGCUUCUUCUUCGCUAGCUCUAAAAGGAAGGCAGGCGGUUGUAGUGUGGUUUCAAACGGUGGAGAGAGAGAGAGAGCAGAGAGAGAGGUUACCGUUCUUCUCUUCCCCUCUAUUUUCCUUCUUUCUCUUCUGCCAUGUUUCUCACCUCUCUAUCGUCUUUCGUUAAAAAAAAAACUCUCCCCCUUUCUCUCUUGUUUUUUUUUCCGUCUCUUGUUCAAAAAACAAAAUUGACCCUUCUGUCUCACAAAAAACCUCCCUCCUCUGUUUUGGUUUCUCUCUUCUCUACACUCUCACAGUACCUCUUCUCGUUUCAAACUUCCCUAUCCUUUCAGUUUCCAAAAGCCCUGCCCCUCAUUCUGGUGUUGGGCGCAAUAUUUAUAGAGCAAAGAAAAAGCGUCUUGCUGUCGCGCAUGGGAAGCAGGAGACACCGGGUGAGGUCUCCAACAGGCGUGGCUUUGCAGGGCACGUCUACACUGUUUUCUAGCCAUGGAAUUUUAGGUUUAUGCAGCAGCAUGCAGGGAGAGAGAAGUUUCUCAAAAUGACACUAUUUUUUUUUUUUUGAUAGGGUAUUGAAAAAUGAGUUACAACAAUUGGGAUAUAUGUCAGGAUUCAAUUCUCUUGGGUCCUACAUAGUUUAAGAUUAAUGAAUUUUAGAUUUUUAAAUAUUAUUAUUUAUGUUAUAAAUAUUAUUAUUUUUAUUAUAAUUAAAAAUAUUAAUAUAAAAAUAUUGUUUUUUGUGCUAUAAAUAUUAUUAUUUUUAUUAUAAUUAAUUUUAUUAAUAAAAUAAUUAAUAAAUUUUAAAAAAAAUUAUUAUUAAUAUUGAAAAUCAACCAUAGAUUUGAUUUGAAAUGUAAAAUUGAAAAUUUUUAUUGUUAUCAUUAAUAAAAAAAAAUUAAAAAAAUUAUUAUUACUAUUGAAGAAAACCCAUAAUUUUUCAAAAAGAUUAACAAAUAUAAGAAUUUAGACAGACAAGUUAAAUAUUAUUACUUAUAUUAUAAAUAUUAUUGUUGGGUUUGUCAUUACAGUCAGACUCGACUCCUUUAAUUUUUCUGUUUCAACCAGACCCAAAGCUUUUGAGCCAUAUAUUUUUUUCAUAUUUUUUAUUAAAAUAAAACGUUGGCUGCAAUAUAGUGCAGGCCACCUAACUAAUAAUGGACUCCAAAUAAAUUAAUUCUGCUUCAAGGAAAACAAACAUAUUAAAAUCAUAAAAACAUUUUACUAUAAAAUAUUAUACAGAAUAAACGUAACUUACUCUAAAUUUCCUCAAACAAUCUUGCAUUGCAAGAUUAAAUGGGCAGUAACAACGCCAGGAAAGCUUUCUUGUGGAUUUAAACACAUUUUUCUAUUCCUCUUAAUUAUGGGAGGGGGGAGCUAUCUUCUGCUGUGUAGGAAGAUCUGAUGAAACAAAGGAACAAUUGUUUUCAUUUUACCAAAAACAUAUUUAGUGGAAGACAACCCUGCCAUCACUGGUGAAGAGCAAGGUCGCAUUACUGGGGACUGGGGCGUCAUCCCUUCUAGCAGCCCACACAACAGUCUUUAGUGAAAUCCCGGAUAGAAAAACCCCAAUAGAAUAGCCGUCGCGUUGUCGGAAAAAUCCGAAAGCAUGAAGACCAGAAGGUGACAACCAUAAGGAGUUUGGGUUAGGUGUUAGAGAAGAUCCGAGGGUUAUAUUGGUCUGUCUUUGAGCUGAAGCUGUAAAAGAUAAGGCGAGAAGAAGAAAAAAGAUGAUAGAAGCCAUGGAUAGGGAUUUAGCUCUUGUGUGGUAUGUGAGUGUCAAAAUAAGGAUGUCUAUUGUUCCAGCACUCCAUUAUCUUUCUGUGGUUUCCAGCAGUCAAGCCAGGCACUCAAAACAUAAAAGUCUAGCCAUAGAAUCCACCGCGUUUCCCUACCAAUUGGUGGAAAUUGUUGCUCUUACUUUUAUGCUUUCAAAGUCAAUGCAGUCAACUCACCGAAAAAACUUGGCAAUUACUUGGCGCUGGUCCCCCUUUUCGAUCUUGGUAUCCCCCAUUUGAUCAGCCAUUUGCUAAUUUCCCCUGGACUGUUCUUGGUUCUAAUUUUCUGCAGCAGAUUCUUUUUUAUUUGUCAAGUACCAUCAAUAUGCUUUUGAUAACACAAUCUUGAGCUUCCUGCAGACAGCUUCAACUACUUGAGAGAUGCCAAUUGUGGUGCUAAUGCUAAUACCCCGCCAUAAUACUAGGGCAAGGCAGAACAAAUGGAUUAUAUUCAUGUCCUUCGAUGCAAAAGGCUAGAUAGCAACGUCACUUUCUAACAAAAGAUCAUGUUAUAAUUAACCCUUAUGGACAACUUAAUUAGUUUAUGGACAACUUAAUUAGUCCUUUCUUGAGUUUUUUUUUCAAUAAUCAUGAGUUUGAGUUCUUUCAGAAUCAUUAAAAGUUUACAUGAUCAUUAAAUUAAGAAUAUGUGGGAUUAGUCGAGAUGAGCACAAGUUAAUCCGGACAUCAACGUUAACAAUAAAAAAAAAAAAUCAUGUUAUAAUUUAUAUGUGAAAAGUAGGGAUUUUGAAUUCGGGUAAUCUCAACAAGGUUGUACUUUUCUUUCUCCAGGUCAACUUGGAUCUUCCUCUGUUCUCAUGUUUAGCUUCCUGCAAGAACAUUCCUUCCGAGGCACAUUUUUCCUGAAAUUAUACUAUAUAUGGGAACUUUCAAGUUUUGUUUGAAAUAAAACUUUUAUUUGCUUCCUCACGAUUUCAUUUUAGUCUCGAAUUUAAGAUAUUUUUUCGUAAAUACACUAGUUUGGAUAUGAAUGGCCAGCGUGAAACUUCAUAGAAGAUGGACCGUUGAUUCUAUGGUUUUUUCCACACGUAUUUUGCAGGAACAGCAAGUGGACGUAUGAGUAAAGUAAUGUAUCUCUUGUCCUUGGCUGUAACCGGUCUUUCUUUAUCUUGUAAUAACAAGGUGAGUUCGAUUGAGGGUUCCGCUGUAUGACUAUAUUCAGAGUAUAAUUAAGGUGGUCACAACAGGGACUGAGUCAAUGUACAACCGAGCAUUUGCUGGCAGGCUCUUCUCAGCAAAAAUGUCUUCUCUUACUAGCUUCAAAGCCAGUGGUGUAUCCUCAAUACAAGUUGUUGCAACUCUGAAGAACAUAUUGCUAGUAUUUGUUGAGACUUGAGAAUAACAUUACCCAUCUAGAAACCUGGCCAAAAUAUAGGUUUCAGUUUUCCAGCCAUAAUCCCGACACAUGAGAUAAGGUGGGAAACAACUUUACAGGCAUUAACAUUAGAAGAAAAAUCAACAGGAAGCUAUGCUGCGUAAACAUAAAGGAACUCAGUACGAAAUAGCAAUUUUAUAAAGAAAAGGAAUACAUGACCUGAAAAAUAAAAUACCACACCCUGCAGAUGAAUCUCUUAUUCCGAACCACAAAACGCAGCUCAUAUAGCAGUAAAAAAAGAAGUAGGACUUGGAGGGAUUGGGAUUUCGACUGUCCCCUCCAACAUGAGGAGUACCUUUUUCAUUGAAGGGCGGAGGGAUAGCUCAUCAAGAGUGCACCAAAGUCCCACUUUAACCAUCCUAUCUAACUGUUUCUUUUCGACGAUUUCAUCACCCACAAGUUUGUCCAUAUCACCGUCCAGAAAACAUUGGUAAACCCACUGUUCGAGAACAGCUUCAUCCUCUGGAAGACUCCAAUCCACAUUCUUUCGACAACAUGUGAUCUCCAACAACAUAACUCCAAAGCUAUAAACAUCUGCUUUAACUGUCACCGGCAUAUUCCGGUGCCAUUCUGGUGCUACAUAUCCCCUCGUCCCUCUGAUUCCCGUGAAGGUAUUAGUUUGGUCUGACUUCAGAAUUUUUGCCAAUCCAAAGUCAGAAACUUUGGGGCACCUGCUUUCAUCUAUUAGUAUAUUCUGAGGUUUUAUAUCACAGUGGAUGAUCUGAGUCUCGCACUCUUCAUGUAGAUAAACAAUACCCCUUGCAAUGUUGCGAGCAAUUUCCAACCUUUCAUGGAAGCAAGGUCGUUUUUCAAGUGAGAAGAGUAUGUCAGCGAGGGAGCCAUUGCUCAUGUACUCGUAUACCAGGAGCCUGUGAUGUUCAUCAUGGCAAUAGCCGAGCAGACGGGCUAGGUUUCUGUGAUGUGUUUUCCCAAUGACUUUCAUCUCAUUCUGAAAUUCUCUUUCCCCUUCAGCUAGAACUUUCUCCAGUCUCUUGACAGCAACAACCUUCUGAGUACUUGAUAUGAUCCCUUUAUAAACUGUCCCAAAUGAUCCCCUGCCAAUUUCUUCCUUGAAACCACCAGUAAUAUUUUCUAGCUCUGCAUAAGUGAAAGCUCGAGGAGCAAAUAACCAAGUAAUACAAUAAAUAUAGCAUAAUAGUUUAAGGAAGAUUGCAAGUAGAUCUAACGACAACAUUAAUAGUUGCAUAUGUGUGUGUGUGAAGAUUCAAAAAAACCUAAUUUAGAAAAUACAAAAAAAAAAACCAAGUAAUGAUAGAAAAAUAGAAAGAAAAGUAUUAAAUUCUGUUUAGAUUGUUCACCUAACAAUUUAAAUUUAUUUAAAUUCUAUAUAGAUAUUGUAUUGCGAUUGGUCACGUACCGGUUUGGAUCCAUUUAGAUUUUGAUUUGGUUACCUAACAAUUAAAAUCCAUUUCAAUUUUCAUGUAUUAUCUUUUUAUAUAUAUAUAUAUAAAUUUAUUGUACAAAUAUAAUGGAAAAUGAAUUAUAACUGUUGUAAUCCAUUUUUUAUCUCUAAUUUUUCACAUGUAUUUUCAAAAAUAGAACAAAUCUUCCAAAAUAUAUUUUCAAUGAAAUUCAAUUAUUAUUUAUUUAUUAUUAUUUUUGUGUGCGUGACAAUAUAGAAAAAUAAAAAUAAAAUAAAAUUAAGGAAAUGAAAUGAAAGGCAAGAAAAACUUCAGACCGGUAUGAUUGAUGACUAAAUAAUAUAUGGAAAAUCAAGAUGAGAUUGGAAAAUUUUUGCAAAAAAUCAAUAAGAAGAUGAAAUAAAAUUUUAUAAUAGUAGUUUUCCUGUUUUGAGAGUAUCCCACAAACAACAUAUAUAAACAUGAGAGAACACUACACACACAAGUACACAGAGAUAGAGAGAUUAAAAAAGACAAGUAUACUUUUGGGCUCGUUCUUGGAGCUUACAAGCAAGUUCCAUAUAGGAAAAACCUUGGUCAACAAGAAGAAAAAAUGGCAAAAAUUAGAUUGCUCUCUGCAAGCGUAAUUCAAGCCACUGCUAACAAGGUGACAAAUGAGAGGGCUGAGUUGACUCAAUGUGAUCUAAAGCUUCUUCCGCUAGGUGCUUCUCUUCCUCAAACCCAAAUCAUCAGAAGAUCAAGACUUGUUCAUCCAACAGUUGAAAACGUCACUUUCUCGGACUCUAGAUUUCUUCACCCCUCCCGUGUUGGAAGUUAAAACCGGUGUGGUAUGGGAUCAACACAGUAAUACAAGAUAAAAAAAACUCAAGAACAAAGCUAAACAACAAGAAAAAGAAGGAGAGGAAGCUUGUUAGCCACUGUAGAACAUGAUGAUAACACAGUCUCCAAUUUCAUUGACUGCAAAAAUGCAGGAGCCCAGUUUGUUCAUGGCGCCAUGGCCGAUGGGGUAACCAUGGCUGACAUCCUCCGGCCAGUUUAUGUUCCUCCAAUUGUCCACUCUUUCUUUCCAUUGAAAGGGGUCCUAAACCACGGGGCUACUGAUGUCUCCAAGCCAUUGCAUGCCUGCAGUUCAAGUCACUGAACUUGUUGGUGGCAUCUUUAAUGGCUGUACCAUGAACCAUAUAGUUGUUGAUGGCACAUCGUUUUGAAAUUUCUUCAACUCUUGGUCUGAAAUCCAUCGUGGGUUGGAUCACAUCUCCAAGCCUCCUGUUCUUGAACGUUGGUCACCUCCCAAUCGUAGCUGCAGCUGCCUGAUCCAAAAGCAAUAAGCCGUUGCCUGCAUGCUUGUACCUUUUUUUUCUCCAAAAAAAUGGGUGUAUAAGGGGUAGUUUUUCCAGGCGUAAGACACGUCAUCCAUUAGUGUAUUUCCCGGUUAUUUUCAGUCCUAUAAAUGCAAGGUUUGAUUUACUAUAUCCCUAAAGCUUGAUUUUUAAGUAAUAUUCACCUGAAAACAUCCAAACAAAACUCAAUAAAUCUUUUUUGAAUCCAAAAUUAUCCUCUAAUCAUUCUAAAAAUUAAAAAUCAAACCAAAUGAAAAAAACAUUACAAGCCUUAAAGGGUGUUUGAGAGUGUGGUAGCGGUUGCUUUUCAAAUAGCUUUUCGUGCCGAAAAGCAUGCCAAUAAUAUUUUUUUAUUUUUUAAAAAUCAUUUUUGACAUUAGCACAUCAAAACGAUCCAAAAAAUACAAACCGCACUCAAUUUUAGCAAAAAAUAAAAAUAAAUUUUUUUUGAAUUUUUUCAAAAAGCCGAUUUGGCCGCAAUGCCAAACAGGCAAUUAAUCAAUCUAUCUGUCUAUAUAUAUAUAAAACUGAAAUAUAUAUAAAAAUUGAAAAUUGAAGAUUGCACUAUAUAUAACUAAAGAGUGCAAUUUACAUUGAAGAGGGAAAGUUCUUGCUUUUUUUUUUUUAAUUAUUAUUAUUAAUGUUGAUGUUCGGAUUAGCUUACUCGUACCUCAAUUAAUUUAAAAUGUUCUAAAAUUAACGACCAUGUAAACUCUUCUAGUGAUUCUAAGAUUUAUAAAAUUCAAACCGAUGAUUUUUAAAAAACAAGUCUAGAGUCUAAUUAAUUAAACUAUACCUUUUAAAAUUAAGUUAUUAUUCUUUUAUUCAUAUUGAUUAUUGACAUUUAGCGAAGAUUUGUUUUUUAAAAAUUCAUGUUUGCAUGACUCUCUAAAAGACCCUACACAAGUUCGAUUUUUCUUUUCUUUCAAUUAGAUUUUUUUUUUCUGUUUUCACUUUAAUUAAAUAGAGUCAGGUUGAGCAUCAUAUAUAUUGCACGAUACUCAUCUUAAUGAAAAUAGGAUGAGACUUGGCUAUUAUUUUUUCUAUUAACAAGCUUUAAUAACGUAAUUAUAAUGUAUGUGAAUGAUUGAAUUAUAUUUAAUCGAAUUGUCUAAAUGCAAUGAAUAUAGCAUUAAACUGACUAAAUUCUUUUCAUAAGGGUUUAUUUACUUAUUUAACAAUAAUUUUUAAACUUAAUCCCACAAUUAAUUUGAAUAAGUUUUAGAUCACGAGUCUAUUUAUUUUUUAUUUUAUAAAUGAUAAAAAUAAUAUUAUUUAAAAAAAUAAUAAGUUUUAAUUAAGCUUUUUUUAGAUUGACCAGAUUAUUGGUCAAACCAAGUUUUUUAUCUAGUCAUAUUGAGCUAAGUCUUCUUUUAUUUUUAUUGAAAUUGACUUAAUUAGAUAUCAAAUCACAACUCAACCCUUUAGUCUGUUGAAGUUUUAAAUUAAUGGAUUUAACACAAAUACAAGGUUUGAAUGGGGCUUCUCCAAGGAAAACUCGAAUAAGAGAGCUAUGUUUAGAUGGUGUUUGUGUGUGAGUUUUAAUUAAUUAAUUUUAUUAAAAUUUGAAUUUUUUUAAUUAUUAUUUUAGUAUUUUUUGAUUGUUUUAAUAUGGUGAUAUUAAAAAUAAAUUUUAAAAAAGAAAAAAAUAUAUAUUUUUAAUAUUUUUCAAAUACAAAAUAUUUAAAAAAAAUUAUUGAUAGACUGUUAAAUACUCUUUCAAAUAAAAAAUAUUUUUAAAAAAUAUAUUAAAAGCCCCCUUUAAGCUUACCAAAACCUCAGAGCAAAAAACAAGAAAGGAAAAGAGUAAAACAAAAUGGCUCCAGCCAAGAAAGGAAAACCGAAGGCAAACUCGGCCGUGUCAACUCAGUCAAAACCCACAGCCCCAAGUCCCCAAAACAAUUUCCCAUCUUGCAUACGUGCAGUCCCUCCUUCCUCCGUCGCCAUCACCAUCCACGCCAAACCCGGUUCCAAAUCCGCCUCCAUCACUGGUGGGUCUAUACACACGUGCAAAAGGACUGUUUUGAUUCUUGUUUAGGUUAAAAAAUUAAAGCUUCAAUGUGUUUUUUUCUUCCUGAUAUUGUAUGUAGAUUUGAGUGAUGAAGCGGUGGGAGUACAAAUAGAUGCACCUGCUAAAGAUGGUGAAGCUAAUGCUGCACUUCUUGAUUACAUUAGCUCUGUAAGUCUUUUUUUUUUCCCUUACGUUAUAAGUUGGUUAUUCGUUUUUAAUGUUUUGUGAUAGAGAAUUAUUGGCUUAAUUUUCGAGAAUUUUACAGGCAUGUGUGAUGUUAAUCAAUGCCUGUCAAAUUUUUUGAUGUUUCGGUACUACGCAUAUGGAGAGAAAUAUUUUGAGUUGGUACAGUUUUGGCUGAAUUUUCUAGAGGAAAGGAGAUUUGUAGCAUGAGGUCGGGAGACGAAAGUGGCUUUUUUUUUUUUUGGAGAGAAACGGUAGAACGGAUUCUUACGGUUCAUCAAAUUUUACAGGCAUGUGUGAUGUUAAUCAUUGCCUGUCAAUUUUUUUGAUGUUUUGGUACUACGCAUAUGGAGAGAAAUAUUUUGAGUUGGUACAGUUUUGGCUGAAUUUUCUAGAGGAAAGGAGACUUGUAGUAUGAGGGCGGGGGAUGAAAGUGGCCUUUUUUAUAUUUUUUUGGAGAGAAAUGGUAGAACAGAUUCUUACAGUUCAUGAAUUAAUUAGAGAGGGUUUUAUUUUGUCUUUGGGCUUGCAUGCAAAAGGAAUGGUGAAUCUAUAGUCCUUAUAUUUAGCCUAUCAGUAUUUUGAUGAUGGAUUUGCUGGAUUCUAGACAUGCGCAAUGAGUUAGAAAACAGCAUCAAUGUGCUUAAUGUAGAGUAUUUGGAAGCAGUCAAAUAUUGAUGCUUUUUUUGGGAUCAUGGCUCGUGUCCUUGAGAUUAUUUUGAAAGAGGGUUAUGCUGGCACUUUGUUAACUUCUAUUGGGAGUUUUUAUUAUGAUAGUGUAUCUGGCAUUUUCCUAUUUCAUCAAGUUGGUGUAAGUAUUUGAUGCAAGUUGAGGAUUGAGUUAAUUUUGAACGCAUAUGGUAAUAAUAAUUUUUUUACUGACCUUUUGAAACCAUGAAUUGCUAGGAAGAGUUUGAAAUUGAAAGAGGAUGAAAGAGUAAAUGCAUUAAGAGAGAGGAUGCGAUUUCAUGAGUGAUAUAAUCAACUGGGAUCCCUGGCUUAGCCCAAUAGUAGAUGAAAAGCUUCUCUCUUCCAUAGGAUAAGUGUGAUUUAGAGCAUUUAAUCUUCUGAAAAAAUAAUAAUGAGGUGUUUACUGUUCAAUCACAACUGUAAACAUGGUUGAAUAACUGAAGAGAGUUAUUUAUGAAAAUUAACAAAUUCUUGUCGUGAUAUCUUGCAUUUAGAUAGAGAACCUCCUCUGUUUUAGUACAGAAAAGGUUCACAAGUAUGGUUCUCUCAACCAACAGGUGUUGGGGGUGAAGCGGAGGCAGGUAUCCAUAGGCUCUGGUUCUAAAUCGAGAGACAAGGUGGUGAUUGUGGAGGAGGUAACUCUACAAAAUGUUUUUGAUGCUUUGGAGAAAGUGUCCAAAUGCUGCUAAUUUAAAAAGAAGAAGAGAGGUUCAGUGUGCUUUCGUUAACAAGAGAUAUGAUUUACAUGAUCUUAUACUGAACACAAGGUAUUUGGAUAGGACAACAUUCCUAGUCCACGCUGAUGUUUAAAAUAGUUUGGUCUGUAGUUUUGUUUCUUCUAUCUCACACUGAAACAAUAAUCUUUUUAUUUAAAACUGUAAGUACAGAAGCUGUAGUGUUACUUAUGAAUAUAAUGACUGAUGUUCCAUGAAUAUUCAAGUUAGAUGCUAAUUUAUUCAUCUUCACCAUGGUUCUUCUAGUUCUCAUUUUUCUUUAUGAUUUCUUCCCCCUUUUUUCUUAUGAAUUUCACUAAGAGAUCAUUAUAGCUAUACUUUUGCACGACAGGCUUGCUAAUACCUAGCGACAUGCUGUGAAAACCAUCUUAUUUUGUCCUCCAGCUUUUGAUUCUUCUGGCUGUUUUGCCAUUAAUAAUGCUAGAUUUAAGGUUUAGGUCCGCUGUUGUUAUUACCUGAUUUUUGUGUAAUUCGCCUAUAAAUGAAAUUACUCUCUAGUGAUAAAAGGAAUGGAGUGCAGAUAUUGUGUCAUGAACAAAAGGCUAGUAUUUGUUUAUUGCAGGAGCAAGAGAAGUCUCGGCUCAUACUUGGCCAGGAAAACAUUUAUCUUUUUCACACUGUAUAAGCAUUUUGUCAUGAGGGUAAUCUUAUUGAUUAAGAAUCAUCUAUCAGAAGUGGAGUAUCCUCAAUACAAGUUGUUGCAACUCUGAAGAACAUAUUGCUAGUAUUUGUUGAGACUUGAGAAUAGCAUUACCCAUCUAGAAACCUGGCCAAAAUUAUAGGCUUCAGUUUUCCAGCCAUAAUCCCGACACAUGAGAUAAGGUGGGUAACAACUUUACAGGCAUUAACAUUAGAGGAAAAAUCAACAGGAAGCUCCCAAAUGCUGCGUAAACAUAAAGGAACUCAGUACGAAAUAGCAAUUUUAUAAAGAAAAGGAAUACAUGACCUGAAAAAUAAAAUACCACACUCUGCAGAUGAAUCUCUUAUUCCGAACCACAAAACGCAGCUCAUAUAGCAGUAAAAAAAGAAGUAGGACUUGGAGGGAUUGGGAUUUCGACUGUCCCCUCCAACAUGAGGAGGACCUUUUUCAUUGAAGGGCGGAGGGAUGGCUCAUCAAGAGUGCACCAAAGUCCCACUUUAACCAUCCUAUCUAACUGUUUCUUUUCGACGAUUUCAUCACCCACAAGUUUGUCCAUAUCACCGUCCUGAAAACAUUGGUAAACCCAUUGUUCGAGAACAGCUUCAUCCUCUGGAAGACUCGAAUCGACAUUCUUUCGACAACAUGUGAUCUCCAACAACAUAACUCCAAAGCUGUAAACAUCUGCUUUAACUGUCACCGGCAUAUUCCGGUGCCAUUCUGGUGCUACAUAUCCCCUAGUCCCUCUUAUUCCGGUGAAGGUUUUAGUUUGGUCUGACUUCAGCAACUUUGCCAAUCCAAAGUCAGAAACUUUGGGGCACCUGCUUUCAUCUAUUAGUAUAUUCUGAGGUUUUAUAUCACAGUGGAUGAUCUGAGUGUCGCACUCUUCAUGUAGAUAAACAAUACCCCUUGCAAUGUUGCGAGCAAUUUCCAACCUUUCAGGGAAGCAAGGUCGUUUUUCAAGUGAGAAGAGUAUGUCAGCGAGGGAGCCAUUGCUCAUGUACUCGUAUACCAGGAGCCUGUGAUGUUCAUCGUGGCAAUAGCCGAGCAGACGGACUAGGUUUCUGUGAUGUGUUUUCCCAAUGACUUUCAUCUCAUUCUGAAAUUCUCUUUCCCCUUCAGCUAGAACUUUCUCCAGUCUCUUUACAGCAACAACCUUCUGAGUACUUGAUAUGAUCCCUUUAUAAACUGUCCCAAAUGAUCCGCUGCCAAUUUCUUCCUUGAAACCACCAGUAAUAUUUUCUAGCUCUGCAUAAGUGAAAGCUCGAGGAGCAAAUACCUCAUUCAAUGCAGUGCCAUCAUUAUUGGGCACCCUUUUAUAUGCCAAUACAUGAUAUCUGUAAACGAUGAUUCCGAAAAUCGACACCAUAGCAAGCCCAAAAACAACAAAUGAACCACUUAUUAUUCGGAUAGUCCUGCCACUGCCAAGGUUCUUCUCGGUUAUAGGCUCUUUUCUGUCCAUGGGUCUACCCACCUUGACGACAGCCAAGUUCGAACUGUCCAAGUUUCUCCUCCCAUAUCUCAAAGGAAACCUUUGCUUUCUGCAGUACUGCCCAUCAGUGAAUAAUGCUGCUUCACAGUUACAGUCUUCCAAACAGGCUUGCUUACAAUUGUCUUUCGUUGUUGAUGACAAAACGGAGUAUGAAACAUCUUCCCAGACAAUAUUAGACAGCUCUUCCAUGGUGUAUGUGCUACUUCCAUUCUUGUCCCUUGCAACUUACAGCAUCGAAAUCCCUCUCACAGCCAGAAGUCCAAUUUCCCUGGGUAACAAACUUAAAUCCAGGAAGACAAAUACAUUCAGCUUCCUGAUCCUUCAUAACACAAUAUCCAUUAAGACCACAUGAUCCUUUCGGGUCGCACUUGUUGCUUGUGGAUGACCACACAUCUGACCAGUUUCCAUUCCGUAUCAGAUUUCGUGAAUAUAAUCUGAAAAUCCCAUCAGCAUCAAGUUUCAUAAUAUUAAUUGUUUCUUUCGUGGGAUAUCCUCCAGCUGUAAUGUUUUUUAUGUUGAAUCCUGUGGAAUUGAGCAGGUAGAGACGGCCAUCCGGAUCAAGAUUUAGGGUCACAUCAUCUCCCUUCCCAUCAGUAAAAGAUGAAAAAUAAGAAUAUGGAGCUGUAUCUGGAGUAUUAACAGGAUACUGCACAAGGUUGCCAUCAUUUUGCAUCUUGAGUCGGUAAAUACCAGUUGAGAGGUCAGUUUCUGAAACAGGAGAAAACAGCUCUGCACCCGCUUUGAGCUGUUGAGUUGGCAAAAGGGUAUCUGUUGGGUGCUCAAAACUCUGCCAUAUAAUCUGGCGAUCAGAAUUAUAUAGCACAAAGUUGCCUGAAUCAGACAUAGAAGCUAAAGAAGCUGGCUGGGAAGCAGAAACUAUCGCAGUCUCACCCCCUUGUGCUGAUGUCAAGACAACCCUGCCAUCACUGGUGAAGUUCAAGGUCGCAUUACUGGGGACUGGGGCAUCAUCCCUUCUAGCAGCCCACACAACAUUCUGUAGUGAAAUCCCGGAUAGAAAAACCCCUAUAGAAUAGCCAUCGCGUUGUCGGAAAAAUCCGAAAGAAUAAAGACCGGAAGGUGACAACCAUGAGGAGUUUGUGAUAGGUGUUAGAGAAGAUCCCAGGGUUAUAUUGGUCUGUCUUUGAGCUGAAGCUGUAAAAGAUAAGGCGAGAAGAAGAAAAAAGAUGAUAGAAGCCAUGGAUAGGGAUUUAGCUCUUGUGUGGUAUGGAGUGUCAAUUUAAGGAUGUCUAUUGUUCCAGCACUCCAGUCUCUUUCUUUGGUUUCCAGCAGUCAAGCCAGGCACUCAAACAUAAAAGUCUAGCCAUAGAAUCCACCGCGUUUCCCUACCAAUUGGUGGAAAUUGUUGCUCUUACUUUUAUGCUUUCAAAGUCAAUGCAGUCAAGUCACCGAAAAAUCUUGGCAAUUACUUGGCUCUGGUCCACUUUUUCCAUCUUUUGUAUCCCCCAUUUGAACAGCCAUUUGCUAAUUUCCCCGUGACUAUUCUUGGUUCUAAUUUUCUGCAGCAGAUUCUUUUUAUUUGCCAAGUACCAUUCAAUACGCUUUGAAGACACGAUCUUUAGCUUCCUGCAGACAGCUUCAACUAGUUAAGAAACAUCGAUUGUGGUGCCAAUGGUAAUACCCUGGCAUUAUACUAGGGCAAGACAGAACAACUUGCUAGCUUAUAGAAAUGUCCCUCAAAUGCUAAAGCCUAGCUAGCAACCUCAGUUUCUAACGAAAGAGCAUCUCUACAUGUUGCGUAACUAACAAUCCCUUGAAUAUUAAAACUGAAAAGUGGAACUCAUUGGACCGUUGAUUUUAUGAUCAAUUCCACCGUACGACUUAAUUCAGAGUACAAUUGAGGUGGUCACGGCAAGGACUGAGUCAAGGGACAACCUAGCAUUUGCUGACCUGCUCUUCUCAGCAAAAGCUUCUUCUCUCACCAGCUUCAUGCCAUGGUUGCUGAUUGGAGGGGCUUUAUAAUUUAUUUAUUACAAAUGUGCUAUGAAAAAGAAAAAAAAUGCUAUGAUAUUAAAAAAAAAAAAAGAAUUUCCUCGUAGCUAUGAUAUUUGUGAUAUUAAUUAUGUUACACUUGUGAUCAUGUUGAUGAGAAUAAUAAUAAAUUCAUAUCGUUUUAGUAAUGUUUAUGUUAGCAAGUAAUGCUACUGAAGGUAAAGAAGCUGUGACGAAGAUGAUGGUGAUGUAAUGGUAAUGACGAUUAAAGUGAUUCAAAAAUAUUUUUCUUUUGAUAAUUUAUUAGUGUAUAUAUUUCAAAUGUUUAAGAUAUUUUUCAAAUAAAUGUACCUUAACUAUGAUAAAUGAUAUAUUCUCCGUUUGUUUGCAAUUUGAUUGUAAAGGCUUCCUUUUAACAUAAUUCUGCUUGAUAUACUCCAUGUAAUUACAAACUAAUUAGCUCAUUUUGGUCUUCUCACUUCUGGCAAUUAGUCAGUUUGAUGGCAACGUGCAACAAUGUACGGUCACCAACUGUUGUAUUGGACUUCGAUUCACCAAUAAUGCCCUGCAACUGAGUUUGAGCGUAGGAAUGGACAUUUGCAUUUUAGGCAAGGAAUUGCCUUGUAGAAUAGAAGAAGAAGAAGAAGAAGAAGGGGAAAAAACAAGCAAAGAUCAUAGUCUCAUUAAUUCUAUUCUUCGUAAAGAGCUCACUCUUGAGAUAACAUAAGAUCAACAAACGUUGUUUGUACUAAGAACACGUGAAGCUUUCAUGCUAACAUUUUCUUUUCUCCUCUUUAUAAAACUUUUUUUUUAAUAUAUAAGAUACGAUGGGAAACAACUUUACAGGCAUUAACAUUAGAAGAAAAAUCAACAGGAAGCUCCCAAAUGCUGCGUAAACAUAUAGCAAUUUUAUAAAGAAAAGGAAUACAUGACCCGAAAAAUAAAAUACAACACUCUGCAGAUGAAUCUCUUAUUCGGAACCACAAAACGCAGCUCAUAUAGCAGUAAAAAAAGAAGUAGGACUUGGAGGGAUUGGGAUUUCGACUGUCCCCUCCAACAUGAGGAGGACCUUUUUCAUUGAAGGGCGGAGGGAUGGCUCAUCAAGAGUGCACCAAAUUCCCACUUUAACCAUCCUAUCUAGCUGUUUCUUUUCGGCGACUUCUUCGCCCACAAGCUUGUCCAUAUCACCGUCCUGAAAACAUUGGUAAACCCACUGUUCGAGAACAGCUUCAUCUUCUGGAAGACUCCAAUCCACAUUCUUUCGACAACAUGUUAUCUCCAACAACAUAACUCCAAAGCUGUAAACAUCUGCUUUAACUGUCACCGGCAUAUUCCGGUGCCAUUCUGGUGCUACAUAUCCCCUCGUCCCUCUGAUUCCGGUGAAGGUUUUAGUUUGGUCUGACUUCAGCAACUUUGCCAAUCCAAAGUCAGAAACUUUGGGGCACCUGCUUUCAUCUAUUAGUAUAUUCUGAGGUUUUAUAUCACAGUGGAUGAUCUGAGUGUCGCACUCUUCAUGUAGAUAAACAAUACCCCUUGCAAUGUUGCGAGCAAUUUCCAACCUUUCAGGGAAGCAAGGUCGUUUUUCAAGUGAGAAGAGUAUGUCAGCGAGGGAGCCAUUGCUCAUGUACUCGUAUACCAGGAGCCUGUGAUGUUCAUCAUGGCAAUAGCCGAGCAGACGGACUAGGUUUCUGUGAUGUGUUUUCCCAAUGACUUUCAUCUCAUUCUGAAAUUCUCUUUCCCCUUCAGCUAGAACUUUCUCCAGUCUCUUUACAGCAACAACCUUCCGAGUACUUGAUAUUAUCCCUUUAUAAACUGUCCCAAAUGAUCCCCUGCCAAUUUCUUCCUUGAAACCACCAGUAAUAUUUUCUAGCUCUGCAUAAGUGAAAGCUCGAGGAGCAAAUUCCUCAUUCAUUCCCGUACUAUCAUUACUGGGCACCUG